RNAcentral lists this long non-coding RNA (56637 nucleotides) under Glycine max (soybean). RNAcentral describes it as "long non-coding RNA (GMAX_LNC003782)". Lineage: Eukaryota; Viridiplantae; Streptophyta; Magnoliopsida; Fabales; Fabaceae. The record is from RNAcentral.
UUACAAGUUCAUCUAAACAAAACGAGGAAGAAGCAUAGUUUUGAGAAAGCACAGUAAUAGCAAUCCUGGACUCUUGAAUUGCCUUGGAAAGUGCAGGUGUUAUGUCGUCUCCGCUGUGAAGCUUGUCUUCGUCAAAGAAGGUAUGAAUUCCCUUGUCACAAAGAGCCUUGUAGAGAUUGCCAGUAAAACCAUAGCGCGUGUCUUCCCCUCUGAAGUUGAGGAACACAUCGUAGAUGGAUGCAAGGGAACGUGUUGUUGCAGCCAUUAUUAGAAGAAAACAGUUUAGUAUGAUAAUGGUUGAUAUGGUGGGAGUGUAGAAUCAAACUUGAACAAAUAUGAAAAAGAUAGCAUACAAAAUGUUUAUUAUUACGCAGAGUAACACCGACAUAGGGUAACAAUGACAUAGUACCAAAGUAGAUAGCCUUGUGGAAAAUAUCUCGCUUUUUUUUCUUUUAAUUAAUUUGAUUUUUUUAAAUUAUAAGCUUCAAAGGUUUUCUUGCAUUAGAAUUGCGUUUGACUCAUUUUUUUAUUUGAAAGAUUGCCUUAAAAUUUAAAUUUAGAAAUAAGAGGUUUAAAUAUAACUAAAAAAUUUAAUAUAUAUUUUUUUAAUUUUCAUUAGCUUAAAACCUAAGCAGCACAUUAACAAAAUUGAACCGGAUUAAGAUAUUCUCCUUCCUUGUGACUAUUAUUUCUUUAUACCCAAAUUCAUAUUUUCAUUGCCAGUCAUUUACAAACUAUAGUUUUCUUCAUGUUAUUAAUUGUUUUUUGACUGUUAUAACGUGUUUCAUUGCACAAAACGCAAAUGGCCCACUACUUAACGAUAUAGACUAAUGCCAAGUCUGAUGCAAUAAGAUAGUACAAAGGGAGUAUAUUUUUCUUAAGUUUAUCUAAACGCAAAUGGUGCUGCUACUAGCAAUCGCUUUUAUGAUGAUUUUGAGCCUUAUUGCCAAUGGCUUACAAAGGAUGGACAAGCCACUCUUGAGAUUAAUUUGAAGGGUAUUAAUUAAAAUUCAUUUUCUCCUUAUAUGUUCUCAUUUGGAUGACAUUAAUCUUAAUAAGAGAACCUAAGAAUUUCUCCAAACUUCACACCUAACAUUAUAGGUCUCAUAUAUAUAUCACCUAACACUUUCUCCAAACUUUACACCUUUAUUUUUAAGGACACAAAACCUAAGAAUAUCAUAAUUAAUCGUCCCAAACUUGAUAAGUAAUAAGACAAAAUAUUGAUGAUAUCAGUUAAAAAUGGAAAGAAAAUCAUAAUAAUAAAUUAAGAUGAAAUUUAUUCUAAUGGUAUACAUAUGGUAAUUUUUUCUUAUCUUAAACUCUUGCAUGUUUUAAAAAGGAGUCACUUAAGAUUCAAACCUACAACUGGGGGAUCCUAACUAUUCACCAAGAAAGGCCUGAGAUGCAUCCAAUAACAAAUGGAGCCGUUUCUGCAGAGAAAUUAAAAUUUUAAAAGGAUGUAAUAUGAAUUCAAUCCGUGCAAAGUUUUCUCAUGGGGUUCUUUUCAUUGCAAUGCCUAAAGAAGCAGUCAUGGAGAAUCAUUUCAUUUGGGAAAAGAAACAAGAAAGAGAGUAUAAGGCAUUAAAGUUGCAGAUGGAGUGGUGUUCAUGGUGGCACUUGAGACUUAUAUUGGUCGACUAGUAAGUAGUGAUAAAGCUUAUUAAGUUUCAUUGCUAUUAAAAAACACAAUUUCUUUCUCAACUUAUUAAGUUUUAUGAUAAAGCUUCAUCCUUAUUAAAUGAUUUCAAUUUUCUUUCUCUUUUUAAAAUUUCCACAAAUAUCAUCAUCAUCAUCACUUUGAUGAUUAUUAUGGUUUGUAAAUCUUUUAUCCACUUAACUUUCAAAAUAAUUUAAAAAUCCAUUUCUUAAGAAUUUGGUUUCUGCAAAAAAUUAGUAAUUUCUUCUCACAUAACACGGCUGUUAAUUAUCUAUUAACAUUUGACGUUUAUCUCAUUUAUUUAAUAUAUGUUCUAGCAUAACCUUCUAACGGUGAUGCUCUUUUGAGAGUUCUUCCGAAUGAUGGUGAAAGGAACUAGUGAAAUGUACCUUCAAAAGUACUUUGACAGCAUAUAAGAAUACAGGUUGAAUUAAUAGUUGGUUUUACUUGACCUUAAAGACCUUUUUUAUAAUAGUUGGAUUGUCAAUUUCAUACUGCUAGUUAAUAUUUUUUAAGUAUGUAUGUAGGUAUUAUCUUGUAUAUGAUUGUGUAUAUCAAUAUUUUUAUCUUUGAAUAAAAAAUAUGUAUUAAAAUGAUUUUUAUUGAAAUUUUCCUUAUUACAUUUUGAUAAAGGUAGAAAUUUUUUACCGCUAAAAACAUAUUAAAAUGUUUUUUUAUUGAAAUUUUCCUUAUUUCCUUUUCAUGAUAUUUAUAAUGAUUCCUACUCAAAAAAAAGAUUGUCAAUCAUGGCCAACAACAGAAAGAACAUAAAGACAAUAAGAGGAUUGAAAAAAGUAUUGAAAGUUUGUUGUAGGUUUGCUGAUAAAGCAAAGAAUAUCUCUUUAGCUGAGAUUACGUAUAAUUGCCGAGAUAAACUUUUUUUUUUCUGCAUUAUAUUGGACAUGCUUUCCAUUUGGGCCUUGUUACGAUCACAUUUAGUGUUCCACCGAAAAUUAACAAAAUGCAAAUAAUCAAAUAUUUAUAAUAAUUAUCAAUAUAAAACAACAUUUGUUCACCAAAGAUACUAAUAAUAGAUAACACAAAAGUUGACAAUUAGAAGUUGUUUUACCAUUCUCAUCUAAACCAUCAAAAUAUAACUAUAACUAAACUUGUUUUCUAUUUCACAUUGGGAAUAAAUAUUAUUUCUUUGCUUGAAUUGAGGCAUGUCUUCACAAUUUCUCCUUCUCCGUUGGUACGUUGACAGUCUUUGAUAAUCAAUGUCAAUAGUUUUUGUAUUUUUUUUACUCAAUUGUUUGUUAACUUUUGUAACCUUUGAAUUUUGUUUGAAGAACCUAACAUGGAAUUUAUGGUAACCCACAUACACAUAGAACUAGACGAUAUAUAUCGCGUGAAGGAGCAAUAUCUACUAAGGUUGUAAAUCAACUUUAUAAUUUUAAUCCUUCUUGAUAUUAUUAUUCAUUGUUAUUUCUAACUAUGUAAAUUUGAAUCACAGUAUUAUCUUGGUCAUCACCAAUAUCAAUCAUAUGCCGAACCCAAUGUAACUCGGGUGCAUAUUCCUGGAUGUAUGUCUCAACAUCAACCAUCACAAGCACAAUAUUAAUUUUAUGUCCCAUAUCUAGAAUAACUUGUUGUAGGACAUCGUUUCAUUAUUAGUUUAACAAAUAUGUAAAUUUUAUUUAAAUAUAAUCAAUUUUUAAUUUAAAGUUUUCAUGUAUUUUUUUUGAUAGAUUAUUUAAACUUUAAAUAAAAAACAUUUAACGUAAAUUAUAUUAAAAAUAUAUAUAACAUGUUUUAAAUAAUAAAACAUUAGAAUAAAAUAAUAACAUAUCAAAUAAAAUCACAAAAAAUAUAUAGGAAUUAAGAUAAAACUUGAAAGGUUAUAUAAAUUGCAUAGCCAUCAGAGAUAUACAUGAUGAAGAUGGGGUGGACACUAGUUUGGUUAAUUCGAUAUCCAAACUGAUUAAUGUUAAACGGUUUGGAUUAGUUUGAGUUUUUUAACAUUUUUUACAUCUCUCAAACCAAAAUAAUAAAAUAAAAAACAAGAAAAAAAAAAAACAAAAAAGCUAUGGAAAACUUGCAUGUCCCCAAACCUAUGGUUUGUAGCAAGGAGGGGUUUUCUGAUGCAGAACUGCCGAGAUAAGGAUCAUCAAAUCGAAUAUCUUCCUCCAUACUGCCUUCUUUAAAUAUAUGGAAUCCAGUUACUUUAAUGAGUGAGCCAUCUAAGUCUAACAAACCUCUUUCUCUUUUUCUUUUUUCAUACGCUAACACACCUGGAUAUCUAACCUCCACAUGGUUCCAUUCUUUUUCCCAAGCCAUUUCUUCAAACCGAUUAUCAUUUUUUAUAGCGAACGCAUGGAGAUCAAAGAUAUAUGUAUGAUCGAUAUCCAAUUUCAACAUACUUUGUAUAUCGUCCCAUAAAUAGUAGUGCCAAAAUUCUUGAAAUUUGCUAUUGAUGAACACCUCGAGUUUAAGGAAAGGAUACCCGGCACCCGACACAGGUGCAAUAAGAAGACAAAGAAGUUUGGCAGGGAAUUUAUUACGAAACCAGAAAGAACUUGAAUGUCCACUGCUUUGCUGAUUGAACCACUCUGGUAUUCUUGUUCCUGGAAACAUAAACUUGGUUCCUCCAGCCUCAUACAGUUCCUGUUAGUCAUAAUUCAUAAAGAAUUCAUAAGCUUAACAACAUUAAGUGCACCAUCAUCAAAUCAUAUACAUUAUAAAAAGACAAUACCUGAUUUAGAAGCAUGCUUUUACUCGAGGAAGUCAAGGAUGCACAGUUUAUUGCCCUGAAAUCUUUUAAGUUUGGUGGAAGCCCUCUAAUUUUCUGAAGAUGCUCGCAAUCACUCACAUCAAGAGUUCUUAAAAAUUUCAGUUCUUUGAAGAAUUCGGGAAGGAUUGUGAAAUUAUUCCCCGAUAGAUCUAAAUAUUCUACAUGAGUAAACCUCUUGGAACCUGUUAAAAAAAAAUCAUCACAUAGAUUGCAAUUCAUGGCACGAAACCAACGUGCCUUUGAAGAUAGUAUUGAGCCCACUUUUUCUUCACCUUCUUCCGAUUCUACCCAUUGCCACCUGUUGCAAUAUUCAAUAUGGAGUUGAAACAAUUCGGGCAUCAUCACUAAUCUGCAUGGUAACUCAACAAUUAAACAGCUCCACAGGUAUAACACUUGAAGUCCAAUAAGAUUUUGAAAUGAAAAUGGCAAUUCUUUUAUGGGAAGGUCUCUCAAAACAAGUUGCUUUAUGUUUUCCAUCUCUCCUAAUAUUUCUGGAAAAUACUCAAGACUGGAACACCCAGAAAGUUGAAGUGUUUCAAGAGAGGUCAAGUUGAGAGGAGGAAAACUUGUAAGCUUCCUGCAACCAUAAGCAUUCAAUUUUUUAAGUUUAUUCAGAAAACCAAUUGAGUCAUCAACUGCAACUAAACUCUCACACCCUUUAAAUGAAAGUUCCCUCAAAUUUGGGAGAUCAGAUACAUCAGGUAUCUGUGUUAAAAAUUUGCAGUUGUCAAACUUCAAAACUGUUAGAUGCCCGAACUUCUGCAAAGGAAAAAAAAAGAAGAAAAGAAAUAAGAAGGAAUGAAUAAAUUUAUAGUGAAUUUAUUAAUUCACUGGAUGAGGAAAAUAUACUGUAUAAACUUGCCUUCGAUGAGCCAUGAAACUCAAAUGACGCCAUGGAACUGUCAGGUAACUUGCAUAUAAGAAGGUUGUUCGGAUGAAAGUUAGAUGGUAAACACUUUGAAGGAUAUCUGUGCCAUUCCAGUACUCUCAAACCUUCUGGAAAAUAAUUGGGACCUUUGGAAAAUUUGCCAUUUCUAAUAAUAAGGAUUUUAAGGUUUUCCAUCUUCAUGAAGGCGUUUUGGUUCCAUUCCACUGUCUGUUCUUUGUCAGAUAUGGAGAAAUCCAGACAUAUGAUUUCAAUCUUACUAGUUCCCUGUUAAUUCAAAAUAGCACGAAUCAACCACAAUACAACUUAUGUGAAAUAUCAAUUGACUGAAACGUUUAGAUAAAUUUACAAAUUAUCAAGAAAAAGUUAACUAUGAUGUAAAUAUGAGAUAGACCAAAAAAAAUUCAACUAUUCAUGAGCUCACUCACCGUGUUGUGUUUUAAAACUUGAAUUAUAUCUUUUGGUAACCAUAAUCUCUUGCACUUCCCUGGCUCUUCAGGUGAUAUCUGCCGCUCAAUUUCUCUACCCACAACCUGAAUUAGGUCAUGCAUAUUUACUGUACCAUGCCUAACCUUUAUGAGAGAUUUGUCAACCAACACAUCAAUAUGAUGUUUCAUGCAGUUAUUGUAAAGACCACGUAGCAUAUGUUCAACCUCUGUCAAUUUGCAUCCUUUGAAGCAACAAGCAAUGUCAAGGAAAACAUUCUUUUGUUCUUCCCCCAAAGCAUCAAAGCUUACUUUUAGAAUUUCUAGGAUUUCAUCAUUGGGAAUUCUUUUAUAAUGUUCCACAGCAGAUUUCCAUUCUGCUACCCUUUUUCCAAACAUGUUGGAACCUAUGACUUCCAAAGCCAAUGGAAGGCCAGAAGCAUAAGUUACUACACGAUUCAAAACGUCCUCAUAACUUGGAUCAAUUUUUUCUCUUUUGAAAGCAUUCCAUGUAAGCAAUUGUAGAGCAGCAUUCUGAUUCAAAACCUCCACCUCAUAUCUUUUUUUAACCCCAUGAGGUGCUAGCAGUUGUUUGUCCCGAGUGGUGAUGAUGAUUAUGCUGCCAGGACCAAACCAAUCACGUCGUCCAGCAAUUGUCUGUAAUUGCUGGGGCUUGUCAACAUCGUCCAGAAUCAAGAGAACCUUCUUCCCCUUAAGCAUAGACUGGAUCUUUGAAAUUCCUUGUUGCUUACUUCUUACUUUGAUGUCCUCUCCAAGUAUUUCUGAAAGAAGAAUGCUUUGGAGGUGUUGUAACCCAUGAUUGUUUGAACUUUCUCUCACGUUUUCAAGAAAACACAAACCAUCAAAAUUCUCAGUAAUUAUUAAAUCAUUAUAGACAGCUCGAGCAAGAGUUGAUUUUCCUAUCCCACCCAUUCCGUGGAUCCCUAUCAUGCAGACACCAUCAUGGUUUCCAACAUCCAAAAGCUUCCUUACUUCUUGUACUUUUGACUCUAGUCCAACAGGCAGAUCCGCAACAUGUAAACUAGCAGGGUUAAUCUUCUCAGAGACCGAUGCAACAAUUCUCCCAAUAAACUUGUAUUCAUAUUCAUCUCUAUCUCAAACAAAAAAGUUUCAAUGAAAUUAAACUAAAAGCCUAGUAUCCAUGCCCUGAUAAGUCCAUACGUGUAUCGACAAGGUUAACACAUAUUUCUUUUCUCUUUAAAUUUGAACAUUAAAUUGUCAGACAAGUAAAACUUAAUCCAAUAAAAAAUAAAAAAUAAAAAGAAAGGUAUGGUUGGGUACCUAUCUUUGAAAUGAAGGCCAGACAAGUUGGCUACUUGACGCAGAGCCCUCUCCCAUUUCUGCAACUUGUCUGGAAAUCUUUUCUUAUGCUUAGCCAAUGCUUCUCCAUAAGUACCUUUCUGGUGUCUGACAUCACAAGGAUAGACCUUAUAAAAGACCGGUAUAACCAUCAUCCCAUUAUACUGGGCGCAGAAAAGGAUGGUUGCAAGUUCAUCCAAGCAAAAUGAGGAAGAAGCAAAGUCUUCAGAGAGCACAGUGAUGGCAAUCCUGGAAUCUUGAAUUGCCUUCAAAAGUGCUGGUGUUAUUUCCUCUCCACUGUGAAGCUUGUCUUCGUCAAAGAAGGUAUGAAUUCCCUUGUCACAAAGAGCCUUGUAGAGAUUGCCAGUAAAACCAUAGCGUGUGUCUUCCCCUCUGAAGCUGAGGAAAACAUCGUAGAUUGAUGCACGAGAACGUGUUGCCGCAGCCAUUAUUAGAAGAAAAAAGUUUAGUAUGGUUAUGGUUGAUAUGGUAGGAGGUAGAAUGAAACUUGAACAAAUAUGAAAAUGAUAGUAUACCAAAUGCUGUGUAUUAUAAAGAAGAUAGCCGCCUUUGUGGAAAAUAUCUUGUUUUUUUUCAUUCUCUGUUAUAAAAAGUCAAGCUCUUAUAAAGAAAGAUGCUCUCACUUUUUUCAUUUUAAAAAAUACUUUUUAUAAUCAAAUUCUUACAAAUAAACUAUAAAAAGUAUUUUUAAUAACUGGUAUUUUAUUUAAAAUAAUUAACUGGUGGUACUACUAAUUCUCCCGCCCCUAAAAGAAUUGUUAGAGAAUCAAAGUAUAUAUUAACUAAUAAGUAAUCUGAUAAUUUUUAAUCACAAAGAGCCUCAAAAUUUGUCUUUUAUUAAAACAGAGUAAAAAUAUAAGUGAGAGACGAAAAUAGAGAAGAGAUAGAAUACGAGAAAAAAGUUAUGCAUACUCGAAGCGUAAUUUUUUUUACAUAACUAAGAAUCCAUUCAAAUUCACUGAGUAUCACUGAAACUAACGCUCUAGAAUCCAUUAAAAUUACUAGGUCAUAUUGUCAGAGUAACUGGAAUUCCGUAUCUCACAAAAUCUUAAAACAACCAGCUAUGUUUUCAUCCAAGACAAACCUUAUCAUGAUAAUGAAUAAGAAGUUUAGAUAGAUCAUAUAGUAGUAUGCUAGCUAAGUCCUAAGAAGUACACUUUCAAAAUUUAACUAAUUUAAGUUUUUCUCCUUUCUGAUCAAAUUAUUUAGCAUAACCAGUAGGAACCUGAUCAUCCUAGCAAUUAGAAGGGAGAAAGUAGAACCUGCAAAAAUAAAAAAGUUAAAGAUAUAAAUUUGUAUUGACUUAAAUAUUUAAAAUGAAUAAAUAAUCAAUUUUCUUCCUAAAAGUAUGAGGCAGUAUGCAGUGUCAAUUUAAUCCCUAAAAGUAAUAAAAUAAAGGAGAAAAAAUCUCCAAUGUCCUUACCGUAUCACUUUAGUUCCUAAACUUAACUUAUUGUCAUUUGGUCCUUAAGAUAUGCUAAUUUUUUUUAUUUUAAUAAGUCACACAACAUUUAGAAUUUUGGAUUAAAAUAAGUGACAACUUGCAUUUCCAAAGAACUUUUUUUUUAUCUAACCUAAAAAAAAUACCUUUUUAUCAUUUUAUUACGUUCAGGAGCUCAAGUGGCCACGUCCCGCAAUUUCAGGAAAAAAAAUGACAUUUACUUAUCUAUUUGACAUGUUCUUAUAUCUAACUAAUAUGAUAUUAAUAAUCUUUUGUAAACUUCGAUAUUUUAACGUGAAUGCUAGUUUAGUUGACUUUUUGCUCUUAAAUUUACAAUUUUAGUUAUUUGAUAAAAAAAACAUUAUUCCAUUAUCAUGCCUCAAGUUAAACUAAGUUAGAAAUAUAUUUAAAACACUAUAUAUUACUAAAAGUUUUAUGUUCUGUUUAUAUGACUGAAAUAUAUUGUCAAUAAAAAUACAAACAUAAAUUAAUUAAUUACUAUUCAUAUUUUUUAUCAAAAUUAAAAUUUUCAAAUGUACUUUUAGAUCACAUAUACUAAUAUUAGUAGUAUAAAAAAAAUUGUAAUAUAUUAUUAAAUAAGUAUACAAAAAAAUUACAAAUAUAUUUUUAUAUUGUUUUAUAGUAGAACUUGUAAGGGAAAAUCUAAAACUAAACAAAAAGCAUAUUAAAUAAUUUUUUUACUUUCUUUUAAUUACAGUGUAUAUAUAAGAUAGAUAUAUUUUUUACUUACUAAAACUAAACACAAUUUUGAUAUCUGUUGGUUUAUGUAGUUUUGAAAUCUGACUAUAAAAAUAUAUAGAAAGUUAAACUUGAAAGGUUGCAUAUAGAAAAGGUUAUAUAUAGAAAAUACAUAUAGUCGUGAAAGAUGAAUAUAAAUGAGUCAAAAGUACAUGAUGAAGAUAGGGCGAACAGCAGUUGGGUUAAGUCAAUUUUUGAUAACUGAAACCAAAAUAAUAAAAUAAAAAACAUGAAAAAAACAAGAAAAAAGCUAUGGAAAACUUGCGUGUCCACAGAACUAUGGUUUGUAGGAAGGAGGGGUUUUCUGAUGCAGAACUUCUGAGAUAAGGAUCAUCAAAUCGAAUAUUUUCCUCCAUACUGCUUUCUUCUUUGAAUAUAUGGAUUCCAGUUGUUUUAAUGACUGAGCUCUCUAAGUCUAACACACCUUCUUUUCUUUUUUCUUUUUCAAACGAUAAUACACUUUGAUAUCUAACCUCCACAUGGUUCCAUUCCUUUCCCCAAGCCACUUCUUCAAACAGAUUAUUAUUUUUGAAACGUAAAUCUUGGAGAUCAAAGAUAUAUGUAUGAUCCAAUUUCAACAUACUUCCUAUCUUCUUACUUCCAUAAUAGAGCGGAAAUUUUAGAAUUUUUCCAUUGAUGAACACCUUUGGAUUAAGGACACCAAUCCCAGUAGACACAGGUGCAAUAAGAAGACAAAGAAGUUUGGCAGGGAAUUUAUUACGAAACCAGAAAGAACUUGAAUGUCCACUGCUUUGCUGAUUGAACCACUCUGGUAUUCUUCUUCCUGGAAACAUAAAACAGGUUCCUCCAGCCUCAUGCAGUUUCUGUUAGUCAUAUAAUUCAUACAGAAUUCAUAAGUUUAACAAUAUUAAGUGCACUAUACAUCAUCAAAUCAUAUACAUUAUAAAAAAGACAAUACCUGAUUUAAAAGCAUGUUUUUACUCGAGGAAGUCAAGGAUGCACAGUUACUUGCAUCGAGAUACUUUAAGUUUGGUGGAAGCCCUCUAAUUUCCUGAAGAUGCUCGCAAUGACUCAUGUCAACACUUAUUAAAAACUGCAAUUCUUUGAAGAAUUCAGGAAGGAUUGUGAAAUUAUUCCCGGAUAGAUUUAAAUAUCUUACAUGAGCAAACCUCUUGAAACCUGCUAAAAAAAAAUCAUCACAUAGAUUGCAAUUCAUGGCAGAAAACGAAUGUGCCUUUGAAGACGGUAUUGGGCCCACUUUUUUUUCACCUUCUUCGGAUUCUACCCAUUGCCACCUGUUGCAAUUAUAAAUAUCGAUUCCAGACAGUUCGGGCAUCAUGGCUAAGCUACAUGGUAACUUAACAAUUCCACAGCUCCCCAGGGUUAACCAUGGGAGUCCAAUAAGAUUUUGAAAUGAAAACGGCAAUUCUUUUAUGUGAAGGCCAUACAAAAAAAGAUGCUUUAUAUUUUCCAUCUCUCCUAAUAUUUCUGGAAAAUACUCAAGACUGGAACAGUGAGAAAGUGCAAGUGUUUCAAGAGAGGUCAAGUUGAGAGGCGGAAAACUCGUAAGCUUCCUGCAACCAUAAGCACUCAAUUUUUUAAGUUUAUUCAGAAAACCAAUUGAGUCAUCAACUGCAACUAAACUCUCACACCAAUUAAAUGAAAGUUCCUUCAAAUUUGGGAGAUCAGAUACAUCAGGUAUCUUUGUUAAAAAUUCGCACUGGUCAAAAUUUAAAACUGUUAGAUGCCCGAGCUUCUGCAAAGACAAAAAAAAAAAGAAAGAAAGAAGAACCAUAUGAAUAAAUUUAAAGUGAAUUUAUGAAUUCACGGGAUAAGGAAAAUAUACUCUUUAAACUUGCCUUGGAUGAGCCAUGGAACUCAAAUGACGUAAUGGAGCUGUCAGGUAACUUGCAUAUAACAAGGUUGAUAGGAUCAAAGUUAGAUGGUAAACAAUUUGAAGGAUAUCUGUGCCAUUCCAGUACUCUUAAACCUUCUGGAAAAUAAUUGGGACCUUUGGAAAAUUUGCAAUUUCUAAUAAUAAGUAUUUUAAGGUUUUUCAUCUUCAUGAAGGCGUUUUCAUUCCAUUCCACUGUUUCUUCUUUGUCAGAUAUGGAGAAAUCCAGACAUAUGAUUUCAAUUUUACUAGUCCCCUGUUAAUGCAAAAAGGCACGAAUCAACCACAAUACAACUUGUAUGAAAUAUCAAUUGACUCACUUAGAGAAAUUUACAAAUUAUCAAGAAAAAGUUAACUAUGAUGUAAAUAUGAGAUAGGCAAAAAAAAUUUCAACUAUUCAUGAGCUCACUCACCGUGUUGUCUUUUAAAACUUGAAUGAUAUCUUUUGGUAACAAUAAUCUCUUGCACUUCCCUGGCUCUUCUGGUGAUCCAACUUGUAUGAAAUAUCAAUUGACUCACUUAGAGAAAUUUACAAAUUAUCAAGAAAAAGUUAACUAUGAUGUAAAUAUGAGAUAGGCAAAAAAAAUUUCAACUAUUCAUGAGCUCACUCACCGUGUUGUCUUUUAAAACUUGAAUGAUAUCUUUUGGUAACAAUAAUCUCUUGCACUUCCCUGGCUCUUCUGGUGAUCUCUGCCGCUCAAUUUCUCUACCCAUGUCCUGGAUCAUGUCGUGCAUUUCAACAGUAUCACAGCAGCUAACCUUUACGAGAGAUUUUUCAACCAACACCCCAAUAUGAUGUUUGGUGCAGUUACCAUAAAGGUCACGGAGUAUAUCAUCAACCUCUGUCCAUUUAUACCCUUUGAAUCAACAAGCAAUGCCAAGAAAAACAUUCUUUUGUUCUUCCCCCAAAGCAUCAAAGCUUACUUUUAGAAUCUCUUGGAUUUCAUCACUGGGAAUUCUUUUAUAAUGUUCCAUAGCAGAUUCCCAUUCAGCUACAGUUUUUUCAAACAAGUUGGAACCUAUAACUUCCAAAGCCAAUGGAAGGCCAGAAGCAUAAGUUACUACACGAUUCAAGACAUCCUCAUAACUUGGAUCAAUUUUUUCUCUUUUAAAAGCAUUCCACGUAAGCAAUUGAAGAGCAGCACUCUGAUUUAAAACCUUCACCUCAUAGGUUCUUUCAACCUCAUGAUAUUUUAGCAGAUGUUUGUCCCGAGUGGUAAUGAUGACUCUGCUACAGGGACCAAACCAAUCAGGUCUUCCAACAAUAGCCUUUAAUUGCUCGCGCUUAUCAACAUCAUCUAAAAUCAAGAGAACCUUCUUUCGUUGGAGCCUAUGUUGUAUCAUUGAAGCUCCUUCUUGCCAACUUGUUAAGGUGAUGUCCUUCUCCCCAAGUAAUUUUGAAAGAAGGAUGCUUUGAAGGUGUUUUAACCCAUGUUUAUUUGAUUCUUCUCUCACAUUUUGAAGAAAACAGGAUUCAUCAAAAUGGAGAGCAAUCAAAUUAUAAACUGCCAGAGCAAGUGUUGUUUUUCCUAACCCGCCCAUUCCAUGGAUCCCUAUGAUGUGGACAACAUCAUGGGAUCCAACAUCCAAAAGCUUCCUUACCUCUAUCACUUGUGACCCUAGACCAACUGGAUAAUCCGCAACAUGUAAAGGAGCACGAUUAAUCUCCCUAGAAACCUGCUCAAAAUACUCUGGAUAAACUUGUAUUCAUAUGCAUCUCUGUUUCAAACAAACAAAAUAAGUUCUGAUGAAGUCAGCCUAAAAGCCUUGCAUCCAUGUCUUGAUAGGUACAUUAAUUGUCAAGGUUAACAAGAGCAUUUCUUUUCUAUUUAAAUUUUACUAGUUAAAUCAAUCGACAAGUAAAACCUAAUCCAAUAAAAACCAUAAAGUAAAAUAUAUUACUAUGAUUGUAUACCCAUCUUUGAAAUGAUAGCCACACAAGUCAGCUACUUGUUUCAAAGCGAUCCUCCAUUUCUGCAGCUUCUCCUUCCUAGCUUUGAACCUCUUCUGAUGCUUAGCCAUUUCUUCUUCAUAACUACCUUUCUGGUGUCUGACAUCAGAAGGAUCUACGUUGUAAAAGACCGGUAUAACCAACAGCCCUUUCCUCUUGCAGUGAAGGAUGGUUACAAGUUCAUCUAAACAAAAUGAGGAAGAAGCAUAGUUUUCAGAAAGCACAGUGAUAGCAAUCCUGGACUCUUGAAUUGCCUUCAAAAGUGCAGGUGUUAUUUCCUCUCCGCUGUGAAGCUUCUUUUCGUCAAAGAAGGUAUGAAUUCCCUUGUCACAAAGAGCCCUGUAUAGAUUGCCAGUGAAACCAUGGCGUGUGUCUUCCCCUCUGAAGUUGAGGAACACAUCGUAGAUGGAUGCACGGGAACAUGUUGUUGCAGCCAUUAUUAGAAGAAAAAAGUUUAGUAUGAUUAUGGUUGAUAUGGUGGGAGUGUAGAAUCAAACUUGAACAAAUAUGAAAAUGAAAGUAUACCAAAUGUUAUAAAAGUCAAGGCAAGCUCUUGUAAAGAAAGAUGCUCUCACUUUUUUCAUUUUAAAACCUACUUUUUAUAAUCAAAUUAUUACAAAUAAACAAUAAAAGUAUUUUUAAUAAUGGGUACUGUAUUUCAAAUAAUUAACUGGUGGUACUACUAAUUCUCCCGCCCCAAAAAGAAUUGUUAAUUAGAGAAUCAAAAUAUAUAUUAACUAAUAAGUAAUCUGAUAAUUUUUAAUCACAAGAGCUUUAAAAUUUGUCUUUUAUAUAUAUAAAUUUCUCAUUGAAAGAGUUUUAUAAUUACCUUGAUAAUUUUGCUGAAAACACCCACACAUAAGAUGUUUUACUUUAAGUCAGAUGUAUUUGUUCGAAAAGUAAUAGAAGUUAAUUUUGUAUAAUAAAAAUAAUGUGAGUAAAUUAUUUUACAAGAAAUUUAUAUCCGUAUUUUUUUAUAAAAAUUAUCCAAAAUCAUCAAUCACUCAUCAUUUUCUUCCCUUCCCAAUGUACUGUUGACAUCCUUAAUAUAUUUUCAAGUAUUUUUCAGUAACUACUGAAUUUUUUGUUUCACAUAACAAACCACACUGAAACUCUGGCAUGAUUAUAUGGAAUUAUUUAUCUCUCAUAGUUGAUUCUAUUUACCACAUUUUGUAGAAACUAGAUCAUUUUUCCUCACACAUUUCUUGUGGUCUUUUGCAAGAAUGAAAAGUUAAAAAGUGUGUUUCAUUGCAGUAAAUUUCUGGUGGUUCGUGUUGAGACUCGUUGGCAAGUGUACCAAAUCGUCACAAGUAGUAAAGUACUCGGAAGUCCGAGUGUCGAAUCCACAGGGACUUUGUUUGUACUUAGAUUAAUGCAAAUCCAACUUAAAAGCAAGAGAUAAGAAUUUAAAAAAAAGAUAGAAGAUAAGGUAAAGAAAAGAUAAAAGAUUUAAAGAUAAAAUUAGGAGAUGAAAGAAUUAAAGAUAAAAUUAAAAGAUAAAGAAAAAGAUAAAAGAUAAAAGAUUUAGAUAAAAUAAUAUUAGGAACUGACUUGCCUUGUCUGCCUAGGAUGUAUGAGUUUAUGAUUUUUUCUUUACCAAUUCAGGUGAUUUUAUCCCACCCACAUCUAUUCAUUUACUUGCCCCUGAUGCCUCACAAUGACAAGUCUAUUUUACCUAUCUAUCCCCCAAAUGCCUUUGCAAAGACUCAAUAGAUAAAAUGCAUGAAGUUCUAAUUCUAGAUGUUUGCUUUGACGCAUGGGCAUAAUGCAAUCACUCUAUGCCUAGCAAUGAUUUUAUUAUGAUAUCUUUUCUUCUUGUUCUAUUAGAAGUUAUCCUCUCCCGAGCGUCUAACCCCUAAAACUAAUGCAUGCAUAUCUUCUUUAAAUCUUAUUUAGAAGUUACCCUCUCCCCUGAGCAUCUAACCCCUAACAGAAUAUAAAGAUGAGUAUGCAAGAUAAAAAUAUAAAAGAAAAUAGGAAAGAAAAACCUAGUAUUGCAUUGAUAAAUAGUGAAGAGUACAUCAUACAUCACUUUGGCUUCUAGGCCUGCCAGGCCCUAACUAAGGGUUUAGCCACUCAUGGCCGAGGGCUUUACAAGUAGAAGAGGGGGGAAAGAAAAGGAGUAAAUGAAACCCCUAGGAGAGGGGGUUCUGUCGUGGUGUGUUCUAUCCCUUGGACUGGCUCUCUAUUUAUAGCUGCUGAAGUGGGCUUUGGGCCUUCGUAGGCGCGCUCAGCGCGACACCCCCACGCUCAGCGCGUGUAGAUCGCGCGCUUAGCGCGCAUGUUUCAGGCUUAGCGCACGCUUCUGUUAGAUCGCGGGCUUAGCACGCGUGUUGCAGGCUUAGCGCGCGCUUCUGUUGGAUCAUGGGCUUAGCGCGUAACGCGCGCUCAGCGCACGUAUUGGACUGGGCCUGCUUCAGAUUUUCUUCUUUUCUUCAAUUUUUCUAGCCUUUUUGCUUGUUAUACCUUCAGUUUUUAUAUCUGCAGCCAAAAUUCAACAAAACAUCAAUUCUUUAAUAUUUAAGCGCAAAUAACUGCUAAAUAAUUAUUUUUAAAGACAAUUUUGCCUUAUUUUCUAUCAUCAAAAUACAAUUAUUUAGCAGUUAUCAGUUCGUGCUUAUAUAUCUGUUUUAUUCCCCUGUAAGAGUGCUGAUUUUCUUUUAAUUCUGUUGGCUGAUCAAUGCUCAUGUAUAUGUUUCUAAACUUGAAAGUAACGUGAUAUCCAUUCUUCACCUUAAAUUUGUAAGAGAAUAAUUUUCGUUGAUGUAUAUUUCUUUUGCCAGCUCUCCGUCAUUUUCGUUGAUGUAUAUUUCUUUUGCCAGCUUUUGAUAUAAAUUUUGUCAUAAUUGAACAAGAUUGAAUCAUUUAGAUAGAUAGAUAAUAGCAACAUAUUAUUUAGUAUCGUUCAUUUUCUUAAAAGAAAACUUGUGUAUACUUGUGAAAUGAAACAACGAAAUAAUAGUUGGUUCACUUUGAUUGUUUAAAAAAAAAAAAACUACAUGAAAUGAAUUACAUUAUGAGAAAGAACACAUACCUAAAAAAAGAGUAAAGUGAAAUUAAGUAGCUCAUUCAUGCCAUUAAGUAAAUUAUAAUAAUUUUUCUUAACUUAAGAACAAAUGCUACAAAUAAAUGUUGAGUUUAGAGACGAAACCAAUACCAAGUUGAAUAUGUUGGGGAGGAUUCUGCUGAACUCUCUCUUGACGUGAUUAAUGAAGUUUUUCUCUAUUUAUCAUUAUCCUAAUGUUCUUUGCACCGUCAAAUUUACUUUAACUGUGAUCUCUCACAUAAAAGAGCCUAAUCCUCCUAAUUUCAUUCUUGAUUCCUCAAUGAAUUCCGUCUAAGUGGGCCACAUUACAAAUUAGAUGCAAAUUAUACUAGAUUAGUUCACACUAUUCUUAGAAAUGAAGACUUCUAGAUGUUCUACCAAGUUCUAAGGACUAAAAGAAUUUCCCAACACUUCAAUCCUAACAAAGCAUAUAAAUGGAUAAUCAAGCCACAAAUAUUAAAGACAACCACAGAUAGAAGUAGAUAACACUAGCAAAUAAUAUUAAAUAGAUAGUUAGAGUUUUUGCAUCAAGAGUGUUGAGUGAAAAACUCUCCAACAAUGAAGUGUUUAGCCCUUCAUUAGCAUGGAGAGCUCAGUACAAGGCUAAAAAUAAGGUAGAAAUGGAAUGGUGAAGUAAAGAUAUGGAGAAAGCCGCUUGCUUUUCUUCCUUCAGCCUUGGUGCUCUGUUUUCGUCUCACCCACGCUGCAUGUGUUGUUUGGCUUCCCCCUCUCUUCCAGCUUUAAAGGCUUUUGGGCUUCUCAAAUUAUGAAUGUGCGUUUAGCGAGCAUGUCUCGCUGAGUGAGAGUUCGUGACUGGGUGCUUAGCGGAUGUGGAUGCGCUAAGCACGAGAAACGACAAAGGCAGUUACUGGGCAAGCUGGCUGCAGCUAAGCACAAUGCUCUUUGAAUUUACAUUCUCUAAGAGUUUUCUCUCACUGGGUGAGUUGGCUUCCUCGCUAAACAGAUUAGGCUCGCUUAGCUAAUCGCUAAACAAGCUCUUCAGCAUGCACUUCCAAAUCUUGCUUCCUUAAACCUGAAAAUCCAAAUGAUAAUAAUAUCAAUCAUCAAAAUGAAGCCUCCACCGUAUAAAACUCACACAAAAUCAAUUAUAUACAAAUCUCACGCAAGAAACCAUAAUACUAAUUAGAGUUACAUUGCCACUUUUCAUCUACUUUUCAAUACAUUUGGUACUCUUGAAUAACAAUUAUCAAUUUAUUUCUUUGGCUACUUCCUAUCCUUAUUUAUGCCACGUUUUUAAUUUCCAUUCAUAAAUUUAAAAACAACAAGCUAUCAGCCAUCCUAAGACAAUCCUUAUGCAGAAAAUGAAGAAGACAUUAUCUAGCUUAAAGAUAUUUGAUCCAAUAAAUUACACUAGUUAUUCUUGAGAUUUUGUGAAAUUUCACAAACUUUUCAUACUUUUUUUACCCCUACACUAACCCCUUAAUUAUUUCGAAAACAUUAUUCCGAUACCUUUUAUACAUUAUACUAAUCCACCUUAAUUGUUUGAAGAACAUUACACUGUGUUCGCUUAUAAAGAAAGUAGUUGUAAAUGUUAAAAAAACAAGAAAGACUUGUGCAAUUUCACGAAAUCUCAAAAAAUAUAUAUUGGUGUAAUUUAUUAUAUAUACUUGAUUUAAUUAAUUUAGAGAGGCAUAUAGAAGUAGAAGUAAACAGAAAUCUAUUUAUAUGCCCAACUCAAACUCAAUAAGAAUCCUAGGUAGGCAUUCUGCUUACAAGUAUGCAAAAUUUAACUUUCUCAACUGCUAUGAACAGUUGAUAUAGAUCAUAUAGGAGUAUGCCAGCUAAAUCCUAAGAAGUACACUUUCAAAAUUUAACUAAUUGAAGUUUUUCUGGUUCCUGAUCAAAUUAUUUAGCAUAACCAGCAGGAACCUGAUCAUCAUAGCAAUUAGAAGGGUAAAAGUUGAACCUGCAAAAGCAAAAAAGUGAAAGAUCUAAAUUUGUAUUGACUGAAAUAUUUAAAAUGGGUAAAUAACCAAUUUCCUAUAUGAAAGUGUAAAACAAUGUUAAUUUAAUUCCUAAAAGUAAUAAAAUGAAGGAAAGAAGAAAUCUCCUUACCGUAUCACUUUAGUUCCUAAACUUAAUACUUAUUGUCAUUUAAUCCAUGAAGCUAUGCUUAUAUUUUUAAGUCACACAACAUUUAGAAUUUUUGGACUAAAAUUGAAAUAUAUUAUUAAAUAAAUAUACAAAUAUAUUAUUAUAUUGUUUUAUAGUAGAACUUGUAAGGGAAAAUCUAAAACUAAACAAAAAGUAUAUUAAACAAUUUUUUUUUACUUUCUUUUAAUUACAAUGUAUAUAUAAGAUAUCUGUUGGUUUAUGUAAUUUUGAAAUCUAACUAUAAAAAUAUACAGCAAGAUAAAACUUGAAAGGUUAUAUAUAGAAAAUGCAUAAAGUCGUGAAAGAUGAAUAUAAAUGAGUCAAAAGUACAUGACGAAGAUAGGGUAAACACCGGUCAGUUGGGUUAAGUGAAUUUUUGACAACUGAAACCAAAAUAAUAAAAUAAAAAACAUGAAAAAAAUAAGAAAAAAGCUAUGGAAUUGCGUUUCCCAAAGGCUAUGGUUUGUAGCAACGAUGGGCUUUCUGAUGCAGAACUGCUGAGAUAAGGAUCAUCAAAUCGAAUAUCUUCCUCCAUACUGCUUUCUUUGAAUAUAUGGAUUCCACUUGCCUUAAUGAUUGAGCUCUCUAAGUCUAAGACACCUUCUUCUCUCUUUUCUUUUUCAUAGGCUAACACACUUUGAUAUCUAACCUCCACAUGGUUCCAUUCCUUUUCCCUAGCCAUUUCUUCAAACCGAUUAUUAUUUAUGAAAGCAGACGCUUGGAGAUCAAAGAUAUAUGUAUGAUCCAAGUUCAACCUACUUUUUAUCUCGUGUCUUCCAAAAUAGGGCCGAAUUUCUUGAAAUUUGCCAUUGAUGAACACCUUUGGAUUAAGGACAACAAUCCCAGUAGACACAGGUGCAAUAAGAAGACAAAGAAGUUUGGCAGGGAAUUUAUUACGAAACCAGAAAGAACUUGAAGGUCCACUGCUUUGCUGAUCGAACCACUCUGGUAUACUUGUUCCUGUAAACAUAAAAUUGGUUCCUCCAGCCUCAUGCAGUUUCUGUUAGUCAUCAUUCAUAAAGAAAUCAUAAGUUUAACAACAUUAGGUGCACUAUGCAUCAUCAAAUCCUGUACAGUAACAAAAAAGACAAUACCUGAUUUAAAAGCAUGUUUUUACUCGAGGAAGUCAAGGAUGCACAGUUUCUUGCAUCGAAAUACUCUAAGUUUGGUGGAAGACCUCUAAUUUCCUGAAGAUGCUCGCAAUCACUCACCAUAAGUGAUCUUAAUAAUUGCAAUUCUUUGAAGAAUUCAGGAAGGAUUGUGAAAUUAUUCCCCGACAGAUUUAAAUGUCCUACACGAGCAAAGGUCUUGAAACCUGUUAAAAAAAAAUCAUCACAUAGAUUGCAAUCCUUGGCCGAAAACCGAUGUGCCUUUGAAGAUGGUAUUGAGCCCACUUUUUUUUCACCUUCUUCCGAUUCUACCCAUUGCCACCUGUUGCAAUAUUCCAUAUGGAAUUCAAACAGUUCGGGCAUCAUCGCUAAGCUACAUGGUAACUUAACAAUUCCACAGCUCCUCAGGGUUAACCAACGGAGUCCAAUAAGAUUUUGAAAUGAAAAUGACAAUUCUUUUAUGGGAAGGCCAUACAAAAAAAGAUGCUUUAUGUUUUCCAUCUCUCCUAUUAUUUCUGGAAAAUAUUCAAGACUGGAACAUUGAGAAAGUUCAAGUGUUUGAAGAGAGGUCAAGUUGAGAGGCGGAAAACUCUUAAGCUUGCUGCAACCAUACGCACUCAAUUUUUUAAGUUUAUUCAGAAAACCAAUUGAGUCAUCAACUGCAACUAAACUCUCACACUCUUCAAAUGAAAGUUCCCUCAAAUUUGGGAGAUCAGAUACAUCAGGUAUCUGUGUUAAAAAUUUGCAGUUGUCAAACUUCAAAACUGUUAGAUGCCCGAACUUCUGCAAAGGAAAAAAAAAAAUAAAAUAAAUAAGAACCAAAUGAAUAAAUUUAAAGUGACUUUAUUAAUUCACGGGAUUCAGGAAACAGUCUCUUUGCAUAUGCAAGGGUAAGGCUGCGUACAACAUCUCUCCCCCAUACCUUCGCAUAGCGAAGAGCCUGUGGGCUACGAAGUUUAUUAAUUCACGGGAUGAGGAAAAUAUACUCUUUAAACUUGCCUUCGAUGGGCCAUGGAACUCAAACGACGUCAUACAACUGUCAGGUAACUUGCAUAUAACAAGAUUGUUCGGAUGAAAGUUAGAUGGUAAACAAUUUGAAGGAUAUCUGUGCCAUUCCAGUACUCUCAAACCUUCUGGAAAAUAAUUGGGACCUUUGGAAAAUUUGUCAUUUCUAAUAAUAAGUAUUUUAAGGUUUUCCAUCUUCAUGAAGGCGUUUUCAUUCCAUUCCACUGUUUCUUCUUUGUCAGAUAUGGAGGAAUCCAGGCAUAUGAUUUCAAUUUUACUAGUUCCCUGUUAAUACAAAAAGGCACGAAUCAACCACAAUACAACUUGUGUGAAAUAUCAAUUGACUCGCUUAGAGAAAUUACAAAUUAUCAAGAAAAAGAUAACUACAAUGUAACUUUGAGAUAGAAAAAAAAACAAAAAUCAACUAUUCAUGAGUUCACUCACGGUGUUGUCUUUAAAAACUUGAAUUAUAUCUUUUGGUAACCAUAAUCUCUUGCACUUCCCUGGCUCUUGUGGUGAUCUCUUCCGCUCAAUUUCUCUAGCCAUGUCCUGAAUCAAGUCGUGCAUUUCAACAGUAUCAGUACCAUAACAGUUAAGCUUUAUGAGAGAUUUUUCAACCAACACCCCAAUAUGAUGCUUCUUGCAGUUACCAUAAAGAGCACGGAGUAUAUCAUCAACCUCUGUCCAUUUAUACCCUCUGAAGCAACAAGCAAUGUCAAGAAAAACAUUCUUUUGUUCUUCCCCCAAAGCAUCAAAGCUUACUUUCAGAAUCUCUAGGAUUUCAUCACUGGGAAUUCUUUUAUAAUGUUCCAUAGCAGAUUCCCAUUCUGCUACAGUCUUUCCAAACAAGUUGGAACCUAUGACUUCCAAAGCCAAUGGAAGGCCAGAAGCAUAAGUUACUACACGAUUCAAGACGUCCUCAUAACUUGGAUCAAUUUUUUCUCUUUUAAAAGCAUUCCACUUAAGCAAUUGAAGAGCAGCACUCUGAUUUAAAACCUUCACCUCAUAGGUUCUUUCAACCUCAUGAUAUUUUAGCAGAUGUUUGUCCCGAGUGGUAAUGAUGACUCUGCUACCGGGACCAAACCAAUCAGGUCUUCCAACAAUAGCCUUUAAUUGCUCGCGCUUAUCAACAUCGUCUAAAAUCAAGAGAACCUUCUUUCGUUGGAGCCUAUGUUGUAUCAUUGAAGCUCCUUCUUGCCAACUUGUUAAGGUGAUGUCCUUCUCCCCAAGUAAUUUUGAAAGAAGGAUGCUUUGAAGGUGUUUUAACCCAUGUUUAUUUGAUUCUUCUCUCACAUUUUGAAGAAAACAGGAUUCAUCAAAAUGGAGAGCAAUCAAAUUAUAAACUGCCAGAGCAAGUGUUGUUUUUCCUAACCCGCCCAUUCCAUGGAUCCCUAUAAUGUGGACAACAUCAUGGGAUCCAACAUCCAAAAGCUUCCUUACCUCUAUCACUUGUGACCCUAGACCAACUGGAUAAUCCGCAACAUGUAAAGGAGCACGAUUAAUCUCCCUAGAAACCUGCUCAACAAUACUCUGGAUAAACUUGUAUUCAUAUGCAUCUCUGUUUCAAACAAACAAAAAAAGUUCUGAUGAAGUCAGCCAAAAAGGCUUGCAUCCAUGUAUAUUAAUUGUCAAGGUUAACAAGAGAAUUUCUUUUCUAUUUAAAUUUUACUAGUUAAAUCAAUAGACAAGUAAAACCUAAUCCAAUAAAAAUUAUAAAGUAAAAUAUAUUAGUAUGAUUGUAUACCCAUCUUUGAAAUGAUAUCCACACAAGUCAGCUACUUGUUUCAAAGCGAUCCUCCAUUUCUGCAGCUUCUCCUUCUUAGCUUUGAACCUCUUCUGAUGCUUAGCCAUUUCUACUCCAUAACUACCUUUCUGGUGUCUGACAUCAGAAGGAUCUACGUUGUAAAAGACCGGUAUAACCAACAGCCCUUCACUCUUGCAGUGAAGGAUGGUUACAAGUUCAUCUAAACAAAAUGAGGAAGAAGCAUAGUUUUUAGAAAGCACAGUAAUAGCAAUCCUGGACUCUUGAAUUGCCUUCAAAAGUGCAGGUGUUAUUUCCUCUCCUCUGUGAAGCUUCUUUUCGUCAAAGAAGGUAUGAAUUCCCUUGUCACAAAGAGCCCUGUACAGAUUGCCAGUGAAACCAUAGCGUGUGUCUCCCCCUCUGAAGUUUAGGAACACAUCGUAGAUGGAUGCACGGGAACGUGUUGUUGCAGCCAUUAUUUGAUGAAAAAAGUUUAGUAUGAUAAUGGUUGAUAUGGAGGGAGUGUAGAAUCAAACUUGAACAAACAUGAAAAUGAAAGUAUACCAAAUGUUAUAAAAGUCAAGCCAAGCUCUUAUAAAGAAAGAUGCUCUCACUUUUUUUUCAUUUUAAAACCUACUUUUUAUAAUCAAAUUAUUACAAAUAAACAAUAAAAGUAUUUUUAAUAAUGGGUACUGUAUUUCAAAUAAUUAACUGGUGGUACUACUAAUUCUCCCGCCCCAAAAGGAAUUGUUAAUUAGAGAAUCAAAAUAUAUAUUAACUAAUAAGUAAUCUGAUAAUUUUUAAUCACAAGAGCUUCAAAAUUUAUAUAUAUAUAUAUAUAUAUAUAUAUAUAUAAAUUUCUCAUUGAAAGAGUUUUAUAAUUAUCUUGAUAAUUUUGCUGAAGACACCCACGCAUAAGAUGUUUUACUUUAAGUCAGAUGUAUUUCUUCGAAAAGUAAUAGAAGUUAAUUUUGUAUAAUAAAAAUCAUGUGAAAAUAUGAAAAAUGUUAACCAAUAAUUUAGGACAUUAAUUGAUUAAAAAAUAAAAAAAAUGAAAAAUAUCAAAUACGAUAUACUUUUUUUUGUAAUUUUCAAUGAAACUUAUUAUUUUCGUAACGCAAUUUUAAUUUUGGUGGGUCAAAUUAGAUUUUACAUAUUUUAUUUUUAUCUUUACUUCCCAAUUUAUAAUAAAUUUUUAAUCAAAUUUAAAGAUUAAUACACUGAAUAAGUGGUUUGCCAAACUGCUUGUUUUUUUUUUUUUAGCAAGAAGGCAUUCCUGAUACUCUUCUUGAUGCAUAUUAAUAGUAUUCUUUACGUCAUCAAAAAUAAAAUAUACUGAAUAAUAUUUUUCAAUUUAUCUUUCAUUGUAUUCAAACUUCUUUCUCAUUAUAGCCGACUUUUCUACGCAUGAAUAUUGCCAUCCUAAAAAAGGAAUAAUAUUCAUAUUCGUUUUAAUUUUAAAUUAAACAGCCGCGUUUCAUUUGCUUCUCUGACUAAAAGGCAGAAAAACAAACGUGUAGACCUUAAAAUAUUGAUGACUUAUAAAAUAUUUAAAAAAUAAAAAAAGGCUGAGAUAACAUUUAUGAGAAAAUAAAAAUGUGUUAAAAACUCAAUUUAGGUGGCUGAACAUGUAUGAAAAAUAUAUAUUGAGAGAAUUAAUAUUUAUAAAAGUCUAAAUAAAACUUGUGAAUUUAUUUAAAAAUAGAUUUUAUGUCAUUAAGUUGUUGGUACAAAAUAAUUUUAGUUACCUUUGUCAAAAAAUUUAGUUAAUCAUUUUUAAUAAGAACUGACAUUUUAAUUAUAUUUUUUUAUCUAUAAAUUAAAAUUUGAAAUUGAGAUUUUAUUUAAGGAGUUCUAGUCAACUUUUGCUUGAACAAAUCACAUUAUUUGAUGAAAAUAAUUUAAUUAUUAAAGGUGGAAAGAAACAAAAAAUAUAAAAAUAAAAUUAUUAUAAAAUAUUUAAAAGUAAAUAAAUAAUGUCUAUUAACAUAAUCUAUUGAAAAGAAGAUACAAUUAGUAAAAAAAAAAAAAAAAAAAGAGCCAAAUAGGGAUGGCAAGGUCUUCUCCAUAUUAGAAAAUCAAUCUGGGAUAAGACAGAGUAUAUUACCUUUUUUAUCUUCUAUAUGUGCUAACAAAACAUCAACAGCAAAAAUAUAGAAUAGCUUAUAAUGAUUUAUAUCCUCUAAACGUCUCUUUAUUUAACUUGUCCAUCAGUAGAAUCAUCAUUUUCAAUUAUUGACACACACACACGGCUUACAAAUCAGAAUAAGGUACAACAUCCAUUCCGCUGAAUAAACAUAGAAUUAAUACAAAUUAACCUAUAUACAAAUAGAUUGCGACAUAUAUACUCGCUUAUAUUUUUAAAAAAUAACAUGCAAAGCUCUCAUAGCCUCUUAACUGGUGCCAUACUUAGCCUUGUAGUCUUGCCAAAGCUGAUAAACUGCUUUUCCCAGUAACUGAACAAAGAGUUGAUCACUGUAACCAUCCCUCAUCUGCUAAUAGUCAAGAAAAUGAGCAGUAACAUCAUAACCCUGGUCCCAUUUCACUGAACUAAAGAUUUAUACCAAUGAAUCACACAAGGAAAUUUAACACUACAUUUUAAUUCAAAACUUCAAAGAUUAGGUUUAUGAAUCUUUUACUCAUUUUAUAUGUUUUUUUUCUCACUUCUAUGAGAUUUGGAAUUGCACCUCAUACUUACUCCAAUACAACAGAAGGUGAGAAGUAAGCCAUUUGGCGCCAGAAUAGACUAGCUAGACAACUUCCAUUUGAUUGGUUUUGGUAAAUAGUCAAAAUCAAAAAUAGAUAUGAUCAGCCUGCAUUUUAUUCUGGUUGACUAUUUGAACUUAGGCCAACGGACAAUGUUGUUUCAAUCUAGCUACUCUCGUGAAUGGGAUAAAAAUCAAGUGAAGUUAUUUCGGGGCUACAUAUUAUAUAUUUAUAUAUAUAUCAUACCACAUAUCUCUAGACGCCCAUCUUGCCGCGUCUAGUGUCAAUCUUCCAUGACCAUGUCCACUUUCUCCCUCGAAAGCACGGAACUGAGAAAUUAAGAUAAUAUGAUACAUUAAGGGAUGUUUGGUAGAAGAGAAAUACUUUCAUAAAUUUUGGGACUCAUAUUUUGUAGAAAUGAAUAAAAUUUAUUUGGAUGAUUUUUAAAAUAUUAUAUAAUUUUUUUAGAAAUCAAAGAAUUAUAUAUAUUUUUAUCGAUUAUUUUAAUUAUUUAUCACAUUAUAUAAUUUAAUAUAACAUAACAAGAUAUUUUUAUCAUAAUAAAAAAAUUAAACUUGAAGAAAAAGUAAAAUUCUCACUUUUUGUUAUUGGAGAAUUUUCGUGAGAAACUAAUUAAAAAAUAUUUUUAGAAAACAUUAUUUAGGAAUGCAAUUUUUUAAAAAAUGUAUACUAAAAUGAGAAAUUAAGUUUUUCAUCUUAUGAUUAUCAGAAAAUUAAAAAUUUAUCUUCUACCAAAUACUAAAAAAAAAUGAUCCGUACUUAUUACUACUUACAAACAUUUUUACUUAUGGAACCGCGGACAUGAUUAUUUUAGGUAAAACUGGAAAAAAAAAACUUCCACCAACAAUUAUUUGAUAUAGUUAGGUAAACUCUUGACAAACCCUUUCAUGUAAAUGGCGUUACCUUUGCUCUUAAACACAAUUGUCUUGUUUCUUUGGAAAUAUUUCUACUAUGCUCUUUUAGACCAUGGGGAAAAUACUGACUUUGUAUGCUUAAUUGUUUGGAAAAUUUUAGGUGUUAAUGCUAUAAAAUGACAACUAGUUGGGUGCAGUAGGAAUUGAUGGAAAUUCUGUUCUUAGUUAAAGAAAAGUAGCACUUGAGUAGUGACAUUCUUUAAAAAUAAAAAUAUGUAGACAAUUGUUUGUGUUCUGAAAUCAACAGAGUUUUUGAUAAAUAGUAACAGUUUUUAUAUUAAUCCAGCAGGAGCACGACCAUCCCCAUUCCACUGCCAAACGUGCACCAUUUCAUGGUACAGCACACUUGUUAUCUCUGUUUUCACGUCCCCUUUUAUUGUUUCCAUGCAUGUCAUCAACGAAUAAGCUUACCUUCUGCACAUUUUUUCUGUCAGAAGGGUUGCUUUGCUGAAAGAUCCUCCAUAUGAAUUGGGUGGCGGAGUCAAGUGUUGGCUUGGCGUAUUCAGCUCCUAUUAAAAGAGGCAAAGGGUGGGGUCAAUCUUAUUAGGCUCAGGUUUAAAUUUAAUAGAAUUAUUAUGAAUAAUAAUUUUUUUAAAGUAUUUAAUGUAAUUAUAUUUAGAAUUAGAAUAUAAAACAUCAUAAGCUGGAACAAUUAUAAAAUAAAUUUUUAGUACCUAGAAGUUUAUUACUCGAAUUUUUAAAUUUUAGAAUGUAAAAGUUAAAAUUUUAACCUUGUUUUUAUCAUAAAUAAUACCAGAAUAAGAUUAAAAAACAAGAUUAAAAAGUAAAAUGAAAUAAAUAAUGCAAAUUUAAUUUUUUUUAGCAUAGGUGGAGCGGUAAAGUUGUGCCUUGGUGACUUGUUGGUCAUGGGUUCGAGUUUGCAUAUGUAAGGGUAAGGCUGCGUACAACAUCCCUCCCUCAUACCUUCGCAUAGCGAAGAGCCUCUCGGCAAUAAGAUACGAAGUUUUUUUAUAACGAAUUGCUAAGAAUGCAAAACGUGAUUUUUGGAUGCAUGAACUGGAUUCGAAGGUGACUCUUUAGUGUAAAGUUUUGGGCUAUCUAAUACAUAAAUUAUAAUAAAAAAUAAUAACACUCGAUUAUAUGUUAUCUGAAGAAGUUUAUUUACUAUUUUUUAAAUUUAUUUUUUAGCUUCAAUUUAAUCUUCUUAUUUUUAAAAAGUGUGAUUUAGUUUUUUAAUUUAGUGUAUUUAUUUUUAAAGGUUUCAAUUAAUUACUUUAUUUUUUAAAAAAUAGAUUCACUUCUGAUUCCAUUUAAAAUCAAGAUUGGUUUCAUUUUUUGGAAAUGUUGGAAGGUGGCGGAAAGAAAAAGCAACCAAAUUAAACGUGUUUUUAAAAAAUAAAGGACAUGAUUAAACUUUUAUAAAAAAAAAAAAUAGAGGAAUCAAAUUAAAUUUAAAUAAAACUCUCCAUUCCACUAUUGGAACUUGUAAUAGCAGGCCAUUAAGAGCUGAUACAAUAUUGACAUUGAAAGACAUUGCCAUAUAUAAAAUCGCGUAUUCUUUAAACUAAAAGCUAUUAUUUAGCAUCUUAGGCUAUAUUGCCAUACAUGGCCUUAUAGUCUCGCCAGAGAUGAUUAACUGGUUUUGCCAGUAACAGAAAGAAGAACUCAUCGCUAUAAUCAGUCCUCAUCCACUGGUUAAGUUGACCCACAAACCCACUUUUGAGAGAAUCACAAUAAUCCAAAAAAUGAGCAGUAAUUUCAUAACCCUCAUUCCAUUUCUGUCCUUGCCCUGGUUUUCUCCAAUGACUGGCUGCAUAGUUUGCCUUCAGCCUCACAAAAUCUGCAAUACCUCCAGUUAAUCCACCAGGAGCCUUGCCAUUCCCCUUCCACUGCCAAACGUAGCAAACUUGAUGAAACAGCACCCCUGUGAUCUCUCUUUUCACAUCCCCACCACUAUACCCAUUAACAUAUCUUGCACUCACGUGAAUCUCGUUCUUCCUAGUGUAUGCAAUCCCGUCCAUGUCAUCCACGAAUAAGCUCACCUUCUGCACGCUUUUUCUGUCAGAAGGGUUGUUUUGCUGAAAGAUCUCCCAUAUGAAUUGGGUGGCCGAGUCAAGUGUUUGGUUUGCGUAUUCAGCUCCUAUUUUGUCACGGAAUCUCACACCACCGAGGGUUGUCAGUGCAUUGUUUAUUACUGUGAACGUAUAUCCCUGUCUUUCCCGUAUUGUAACAUCAAAGCUUAGUUUUGGACUCUCUAGGAUUUCAUCCCUGGGAAUUGUUUUGUAAUGUUCCACAGCAUAUUCCCAUUCUGCUACUGUUUUACCAAACAAGUUGGAACCUAUGGCUUCCAAAGCCCGUGGAAGGCCUGAAGCAUAAGCUACCACACGAUUCAAGACGUCCUCAUAACAUGGAUCAAUUUUUUCACUUUUGAAAGCAUUCCACGUAAGCAAUUGAAGAGCAGCAUUCUGAUUCAAAACCUUCACCUCAUAAGUUCUUUCAACGCCAUGAUAUUUUAGCAGAUGUUUGUCCCGAGUGGUAAUGAUGACUCUGCUACCGGGACCAAAGCAAUUAGGGCUUCCAACAAUAGCCUUUAAUUGCUCUUGCUCGUCAGCGUCGUCUAAAAUCAAGAGAACCUUCUUUUGUCGGAGCCUACGUUGUAUCAUUGAAGCUCCAUCUUGCCAACUUGUUAAGGUGAUGUCCUUCUCACCAAGUAAUUUUAAAAGAAGGAUGCUUUGGAGGUGUUUUAACCCAUGUUUAUUUGAUUCUUCUCUCACGUUUUGAAGAAAACAUGAUUCGUCAAAAUGGAGAGCAAUCAAAUUAUAAACAGCUAGAGCAAGGGUUGUUUUUCCUAACCCACGCAUCCCAUGUAUCCCUAUGAUGUGGACAACAUCAUCGGAUCCUACAUCCAAAAGCUUCCUUACCUCUAUCACUUGUGACUCUAAAUCAACUGGAUAAUCCGCAACAUGUAAAGAAGCAUGAUUGAUCUUCCUAGAGACCUCCUCCACAAUAUUCCCAAUAAACUUGUAUUCAUAUGAAUCUCUGUUUCAAACAAACAAAAAAAGUUCUAAUGAAGUCAACCCAAAAGCCUUGCAUCCAUGUCUUGGUAGGUAUAUUAAUUGUCAAGGUUAACAAGAGCAUUUCUUUUCUAUUUAAAUUUUACUGCUUAAAUCAAAGACAAGUAAAACCUAAUCCUAUAAAAACCAUAAAGUAAAAUAUAUUAGUAUGAUUGUAUACCCAUCUUUGAAAUGAUAGCCAGACAAGUCAGCUACUUGUUGCAAAGCCAUCCUCCAUUCCCGCAGCUUCUCCAUCUUAGAUUCGAACCUUUUCUGAUGCUUAGUCAUUGUUUCUCCAUAACUACCUUUUUGGUGUCUGACAUCAGAAGGAUCUACUUUGUAAAAGACCGGUAUAACCAACAGCCCUUCACUCUUGCAGUGAAGGAUGGUUACAAGUUCAUCUAAACAAAAUGAGGAAAAAGCAUAGUUUUCAGAAAGCACAGUAAUAGCAAUCCUGGACUCGUUAAUUGCGUUGGAGAGUGCAGGUGUUAUUUUGUCUCCUCUCGGAAGCUCCUGAUCAUCAAUGAAAGUGUAGAUUCCCCUGUCACCAAGAGCUUUGUAGAGGUUGCCAGUGAAACCAUUGCGUGUGUCUAAACCUCUGAAGCUGAGGAACACAUCGUAGAUGGAUGCAAGGGAACGUGUUGUCGCAGCCAUUAUCAGAAUAAAAAAAUUUUAGUAUGGUAAUGGUUGAUAUGAUAGGAGUGUAGAAUCAAACUUGAACAAAUAUGAAGAUGAAAGUAUACCAAAUGUUAUAAAAGUCAAGUCAAGCUCUUGUUAUCCAUCAAUAAAUUUAGUAUGGAAAUGGUUGAUAUGAUAGGAGUGUAGAAUCAAACUUGAACAAUUAUAAAGAUGAAAGUAUAGCAAAUGUUAUAAAAGUCAGUAAGCUCUUAUUAUCCAUCAAUAAAUUUAAUAAAUAUUUUAUAUUAAUGUCACGAUAAAGAAUAUCUUUAAUAUAAACUUAAUUCCUAAUUAACUACCUACAAGUUAUGAGACUAGUUGUAAAAAAAUUAUAUUUUAUAAUCAGAUCAUUUACAAACUAAGCAUUUUCUUUUGUAGAAGUAUAAAAUUAUUUUUAAUAUUUGCUAAUGUAUUUAAAAUAAUUAACUGGUGGUACUAAAUUUCAAUUUCUCCCCGUCCCCCAUUAAAAUUGUUAGACGUAAAAAAUUAGUAAAUUUCACAAAUUCUGUGAGCUGCGAUCAAUGUGCAAGAGCACAUUCUUUCAACUCCAAGUUCAAGGCUAUAUUCGGAAAUUUAGCUCUCAAAAAGGAAACCAAAUUCAAAAUUAUGAUUCAUUUAACUUUCCAUAGGAUGAGAACUAGAUGUUUGUUCCAAAGCAAAGGACGUUUAGAUAAAUAAAUCUAAGUUGGUGGAAAUUAAUUUAAAACUGAAUUACAAUUUUAGUUUUCAAACAAUAUUUUCAGAUCGAAUUCAAUUUUUACAUCCUAUUAAUAUAAAAAAAUUAUCCUACCAAUUCAUCAGAAAUAAAAGUAGACGUGACUUGUGAAGUGGUUAAUAUUUCAAUAAUUAAUUAUAUACAUAUUUAAUUAUUAUUAUUAUAAUUAAUUAUAGAAAUAAGUUUUGUAUCUAAAAUUGUUAAAUAAAAUACUACUUUAAAAUAAUUUAUUUUAUUUAAAUAGUUUUAAAAAUACUUUUAGUAUGAAAUUUUUUAUUAUAAAUAUAAAUUUAUUAGUUCCUGAUAACAAAAAACGGUUAUUAAUUCCUUUUUAAAAAACAUAAAGUUAUUAAUCACCUACUAUUGUGACCAUAAAAUUUCUGAUAACAAAUCACAUGUGCCCAUGCCAAGUUGCCAACUCCAAUCCAACCAUUGUUCUUUAGGUCAAAGUCCAAGAACAUGAGCUGAAUGGGUUACCAAUUUAAAAAUAACGCAUCCCCCCUCUGAAUGUGAGAUAUACCACUUGUUACUUUGGUCUCCUGGCGUCAUUGUCAAGAUGUUUUCAAACUCAACACUGAUUGAAGCUCCUUGGGGAAUCAGUCCUGAUCCUUUGGGUUAGGUUGACAUUUUCAGUGAUUUCUCUUGGGAAAUGGUUGGUUUGCUUUUCUGGUUUGUGUACAUGUUGCUAUGCAAACAUUGAUGCUUAACUCUUUGCCAUCUUUCAUGAUCUCAAUGUAGCUCCGAGCUCCGGUUAUUGUUAUUGGCAUUGGCAUUAAUUACAUACUUAUGACAUUCUUUAUCUCAACAUUAUUAUAAAUAAAUAAAACAUAAAAAUAUUGAUCAUCAAAUUUAUGCAGUUAAAAGAUUCACAUUUAUUUUAGUAUUAUCAAAUAAGACUUAUUAAAAAAUAAUCAUCUCAAAAUAAGGCCGUCAAAAUUUACAAAAAAUAUUUUUUUAAAUUAAUGAGGUAAAAUAAUCGCCUACAUGCAAUGUGGUGUCAUGUAAGUAAAAAACCACUCUGAGACAUUUAGGAAUACAUAACAAGACACACCACACAAUGAGUAUGUUAGGUCACUAUCACUAAGUAAAAUCAUAAGGUGACCAGCCAGUGUUACUCUGUUUUGCGAGAAUAUUCCAACCAUAUGAGAUCAAUUUAAACUUAAAGAAGUACUCAAAUCGAAUGGUUUUACCCUCAAGGUCUAGACUCCCAAGAAUCCGUUAGGGUCUCACCUUCCUAAUUCAGGUCCAACCCUUCAAACAAUUUUUGCAAGCAGAUACUGCUCAUGAAUUAUAUAAUACCCAUGAACUCACACUUGUGUUUUAAACACGUUUAACAUAUUGCGCUACAAUUUAACACUAAUUCCUAACUAGAAAACCUACUUUCUCCCUUUAACAUUGUGCAUCAAUAUUUUUCUCAAGAUAAACACUGGUCGGGUAAUUGUAUAAUUCACAACUCAAAACACAAGUAAUGUCACAUCAAGUGUUAACCACACACUUAUGCACAACUAACACAACUAAAACUUAUGUUUACAACUUCACAUCUCAUUAUGUCACAAUCAACCAUCUCAUGUUUAUAUGUAUCUCGCAAUUUAACACAUUCAACUUUACACUUAUACUCAAUCCCCAUAACAAUAUAAUAAUUUCAAAGUAAUAUAUUAUUCUACAACUCAUCAUAUACUCAAUUUAUCAAUUAUAUACAAUUUUAAUUACAAUUUCAUAAUUUUGAUAUAACUAUUUGGUACACUAAUCUUAUUCAAAAAACAAAUAAAUUAUACAAAAAUAUUUCUCAAUUCACGGGGAGUAAAUUAUACAAAUAAAUUAUACAAAAAUAUUUAAAAAAACUAUAUUUAUUUUAUUUUAUAAAUAAGUACAAAAAUGUCACAAUAUUUUUCUCUAUUUUUAAAUAUUUAUGAAAAUGAAAAGUAAGAUAUAAUAUGUAAAGCAUAUAUUGCUAUUUUGGACUUUUUUUGGGGGGAUGUUGUUACCAUGACUAUCCACUUUCUCCCUCGAAAGACAAGGCAUCCAAUUUUAAUAUGAUACAUUAAGGGAUGUUUGGUAGAAGAAAAAUACUUUCUGUUAUGGUUCGCGUCAGGGAUGGGGUAGAGGAAGGAGAUGAAAACGCAGAAUGUUCACAAGCCCUUAUUCGAGAAAGGGGAAAACUCCUUUAUUUCUUGAAGGAUAAUGUUCUUACAUUCUACGAUUAUACAUGUUCAGUAUUUAAAGUGAUUCUACGUAACUGCCUAACAAAUUCAGUUACGUCUAACGGUAUCGGGUUCGAGUAGAAUACGUGGUCCAAGCUUUCGAAAAUUAAGCACGUGUGGUGUAAGCUUGCCCUAACUACCCCUGGUUAUGUUUGGGCCUUUAUGGAGAGCCAUGCAGGUUGGCAACGUGAUAAUCCUUCAGGUGAAAUGGUGCGGACCUGACUCGUGCUGGUCUGAGUCGUGACUGGGCCGAGUCACUAACAAUACCUCCUCCUUCCAAGUCCACCUUGUCCUCAAGGUGGUAAAGCUCGCGUAGGGAGGACCAUGGUUCCCACGAUGUGUCCUCUGGUGGUUCGCCUACCCACUGGGUGAGGACCAGUUGUGUGGGGGGGGGGGGGGUCCGUAGAGUCAUCGAGUUUUGUAUCUAGGAAGCAUAGUGGUCGUCGUAACGGUUCCUUAGAGAGAGUUCCGAGGGUCCAAGUGUCUGUGAGAGGGGGCUGGGGUCCAUGGUGAGCUCGGAGGAGCGAAGAGUGAAAAUCGGGGUGGAUCUGAGAAUGGGGUGGAAGACGCAGGCGGUAAGCCACAGAACCAAUGCGUUCUUCAAUCUGGAAGGGCCCAAAGAAUCGUUUGGAGAGCUUGGGGUGGUGGUGACCGGAAAUGGAGGUUUGACGGCCAGGGCGUAGCCGCACGUAGACCCAUUGUCCGACGGAAAAUGAAACAUCAUCACGCUUAGCAUCAGCAUAGUGUUUCAUUGUAAGUUGGGCCUUUUGUAAUUUCUUCUGAAGCCGGGAGUGUAGAGCUUGUCGUGACUCGAGCAAGGUCUGAGCAGCUUCAUUGUUGGUUGUAUUAGGAAGGUAGUCAUGUGCAACUGGUGGUGGUUUUCCAUAAAUGAUCUCGAACGGUGUUGAGCCUAUGCUGGAGUGCAGAGACGUGUUAUAACACCACUCUGCAAGGGCCAAGUAAUUGAACCAGGCCGUGGUUUGGGAGUGGACAAAGCAUCAGAGGUAUUGCUCGAGAACUCUAUUCAUUACUUCCGUCUGCACGUCCGAUUGGGGGUGAUAGGCCGUGCUGAGACGCAAUUGAGUGCCGGAAAGUCUAAACAGUUCACGCCAAAAGUUGCUUAAGAAAAUUGGAUCGCGAUCGGACACGAUGCUCUUUGGGAAGCCAUGUAAUUUACAGACAAUUUGCAGGACGAGGUUAGCUACUUUGAAGGCAGUGAAACUAGUUGGUAAAGCACCUAAGUGUACCCCUUUAGAGUAUCUAUCUACGACAACAAAUAUGACUGUGAAGCCAUUAGAGGGAGGAAGGUGUGUAAUGAAAUCCAUAGACAGGUCUUCCCAGACCCCCGUAGGUAAUGGCAGUGGCUGCAGAAGGCCUGUCGGGCGCUUGGAGGAGUUCUUAUUUUGUUGGCACACUGAGCACUCCUUGAUGAAGCGACGAACAUCGUGCUUGAGGUUGGUCCAGAAGAAAUUGGAUUGGACUCGAUGGGUUGUCUUCGCAACUCCGAGGUGGCCACCUAACGGGGUUGUGUGGUACUCUGAUAGUAGACUGGGAAUGCAGGGAUUGUUGCUAUUUAACCAUAUUCGACCCUGGAACAAUACGAGAUUGUUGCAGAGGGUAUAGCCAGGGUGGUUUGCUGGGUUGGACUGUAUCGAAUGCAUGAGUUGCUGAAAUUCCGGGAGGGACUCCAAUGACUUUCGAAUGUCAUUGAGGAAGUCCAGCUGGGGAACUGAGAGGAUUAAGAGCUGGCCGGUGGAUGAGGGGGGUCGAGAAAGAGCGUCGGCAACCACGUUGGAAGAUCCAGCUUUAUAUUGUAUGGAGUAAUCAUAACCUAAUAAUUUGGAGAGAUAAUAAUGCUGCUCCGGGGUUUGUAUUAUUUGCGUCAUGAGCUCGCGAAUGCUUUUGUGGUCCGUGAGGAUCGUGAAUGGGCGUCCUAAGAGAUAUUGUCGCCAUUUUCUAACAGCUGCGACAAUGGCAUGGAGUUCACGAAUGUAUGUUGAAGCUUGGGUCAAACAAGGGGUGAGACUCUUGCUGAAAUAUGCCAAAGGAUGUCCACUCUGUGUGAGGACUGCUCCGAUAGCGGUUGCUGAUGCAUCAGUUUCAAUCACGAAGGGAGUGGAGAAGUUGGGUAGGGCUAACACGGGGGCGUUUGUCAUGGCGAAUUUGAGCUGGGAAAAGGCCUCCUGAGAUUCUGAGGUCCAGGUGAAUGCAUCCUUGCAGAGUAAGCUCGUGAGGGGAGCUGCGAUGGUGGCGUACCCCUUUAUAAACUUUCUGUAGAAUCCGGUGAGGCCUAAAAAUGCUCGGAGUUCCUUGGCGGUCCUCGGGUUUGGCCAUUGCACCAUAGCUUGGAUCUUCGAAGGUUCUGGAGUAACUCCCUUGCCGGAAACAACAUGCCCGAGGUAUUCAAUGGUCUCUUGGGCAAACGAGCACUUGGAUUGCUUGAGAUAGAACUCACCAUGCUGUAGAGUUUCGAAGAUAGUUUCCAGAUGUUGAAGGUGAGAUGACAGCGAGCUGCUAUAAACUAGAAUGUCAUCGAAGAACACUGUUACAAAUCUGCGUAAAAAUGGUUGCAACAGGUUGUUCAUGGCCGAUUGAAAGGUGGAUGGGGCAUUGCUGAGCUCGAAGGGCAUAACCAGAUAUUCGAAAUGGCCAUUAUGCGUCCGAAACGCUGUUUUCUCCACAUCUUCUUCGUGCAUCAGGAUUUGGUGAAAUCCUUGCCGGAGAUCGAGCUUGGAGAACUAGGUGGCCUGUCCUAGCUUGUCGAGGAGCUCGUCGAUCGUUGGUAUAGGAAAACGAUCUCGAAUGGUAACUGUGUUGAGCGCCCUGUAGUCCACACACAGUCUCCAUGUGCCGUCUUUCUUCUUAACGAGGAGGACCGGCGAGGAGUAGGGACUGAGACUGGGGCGAAUGAGGCCGGCGGAAAGCAACUCAGAAACUUGUUUCUCAAUUUCAUUCUUUUGGAAGUGUGGGUACCUGUAAGGCCUCACGUUUAUCGGGGCUGUGGAAGGGGCUAAUGUAAUUCGGUGAACCACUUGUCGUGGUGGGGGUAGUCUGGAUGGGGACUGAAAUAGGUGGUUAUAACGGAGAAGAAGGUGCUGGAUGGAGGGAAGAGGGUGUUGGGCCGGGGCGGUUUCGGUUCGGGUAACGGGCUGAACACUCAGUUGGUAAAAGGCCGAGGUGGAGCCGGUUUGAAGGAACUGUUUCAGUUGGGUUGCGGAAACGGGUUCAGGCCCACAUGUAGCGUCUGCUGCUAAAGACACCUCCUGACCCUGGUGUGUAAAGUUCAUGAUACCAGAUGUGUAGUCUGUCGUUAUCGGGCCCAACUUCUUCAGCCAGUCGAUGCCUAGGACCGCAUCAGCUCCAUUGAUUUGCAGGAGGUGGAAUGAUACGAGGAAUUGGUGGCCUUGGACGGUGACUAAUGUCUCUGAGCAAACCUGGUUACAAUCUAAGGUGGAACCGUUGCCCACUAAGACUUGGAGGGACCGAGUUGCUUGGACUGGUAGCUUCAGGAAUUGAGCGAUGCGCGGUUGAAGGAAGUUAUGCGUACUUCUGCUAUCAAUCAAAAUGGUUAACUGCGUGUUCUUGAUGGUGCCAUAGAGCCGAAAGGUGUCUGUGGAUGGUAAUCCUGACAACGCAUGAAGGCUGAUAUGUGAACAAGUCGAAUCUGGUGAGGGCUCGGGUUUGUCAUCAAUGGCAGAAGGUGGUGUCUGUUCGAGCUCGAGUAUGCUUUCUUCAGUGGUGGAGGUUUGUUCAUCAGCAAUGAGGAGCAUGACGCGUCCUUUACAACGAUGAUUAGUGCUCCACUUCUCGUCACAAUUGUAACAUAGUCCUCUUUCUCGUCGGAAAGCGAUCUCGGCCGGAGUUCGUUGCACAAAUGGAGGUUUUGCUUUAAUGGUGGGAUUGGGAUUGAAGGGCGGCGAGGGUUUAGGUGGAAAUGGAUUGCGUGGGGCCAAUACCGCUUUAUCUCGAAGCUUCUAUUCUUGAAGCUUGGCAAGGGCAGUAGCUUGCAGGAGCGAAAUAGGUUGAAGGGCCAUUACCUCACGGCGAACCUCUGGGCAUAAUCCUAAAAUGAAACAGCUUAAAAGAAAUGGGGGAGGAAGGCCUACCACUCGGUUUGCAAGACGUUCGAAUUCCGUUAGGUAGUCAUUAACUGUUCCCUUCUGCGUUAACUUGAAUAGUGCCCCCUUGGGGUCCUCGUAAAACGUUGGUGCGAAGCGCGACUCAAGGGCUUCGAGGAAGCUUUCCCAGGAGGUGAUCAGUCCAUUGCUGAACAUCCACUGAUACCAACUCAGUGCUGUUCCGUCGAGAUACAGGGAGGCGACUGUGACUCGCUCUUCUUCAGGCGUGUUGUGGUAUUGAAAAAGUUGCGUAAGCUUGAAAAUCCAGCCUAAGGGGUCACGGCCAUCGAAACGAGGGAUGUCUAUUUUAACUGAGUUUCGUGGAUGAUUUUGAUGAUUUGCGGUGUUGGUGGCGUUCCGGCCGGAGUCGUGGAGGCGAAGGUGGUCGAGGAUGGCAUCAACUUUGCCGGAAAGGUCUGUGUAUCGGUCUGUAAGUGAGGCCUGGCUAUUGUUAAGACGGGUAAUUGCCUCUUCAAGGCAGUCAGUGGUGGUUUUUCUGGUUCCGUGAUCGGCCAUGGCAAUGGCGGCGCCGGCAGGUCAGACCAGUUGUUAUGGUUCGCGUCAGGGAUGGGGUAGAGGAAGGAGAUGAAAGCGCAGAAUGUUCACAAGCCCUUAUUCGAGAAAGGGGAAAACUCCUUUAUUUCUUGAAGGAUAAUGUUCUUACAUCCUACGAUUAUACAUGUUCAGUAUUUAAAGUGAUUCUACGUAACUGCCUAACAAAUUCAGUUACGUCUAACGGUAUCGGGUUCGAGUAGAACACGUGGUCCAAGCUUUCGAAAAUUAAGCACGUGUGGUGUAAGCUUGCCCUAACUACCCCUGGUUAUGUUUGGGCCUUUAUGGAGAGCCAUGCAGGUUGGCAACGUGAUAAUCCUUCAGGUGAAAUGGUGCGGACCUGACUCGUGCUGGUCUGAGUCGUGACUGGGCCGAGUCACUAACACUUUCCGAUCAUGAAUUUUGGGACUCAUAUUUUGUCACGGAAAGCCACGCCGCCAGGAGUUGAGAGUGCGUUGUUAGUGACAGUGUAUUCAACUGCAUGCAUGUGUUGCAUGUACUGCAGAUAGGAAUACUAAGAAACAAAGUGCAUAGGAUUGGGUCCAUUCGGUGCUUGCUUUAUGUAGAAAACGUAUAAGAUCCUUCCUUUCAAGUUUCCACGACUGCCAUUAAUGUUUGUAAACAUUGAAUGCUUGGUUGUUCCGGUUGGUACGUAACUCAAUUUUGAAUUUUCAGAAAACUGGGGUGUCUAUGGUCAAGUCUUUUUCUAGAAAUGACAAACAGGCAAAGGGUGGGGUCAAUCUUAUUAGGCUCAAGUUUAACUUUAAUAGAACUAUUAUGAAUAAUAUUUUUUUUGAAAGUAUUUAAUGUAAUUAUAUUUAAAAUUAGAAUAUAAUUAAAACUUCAUAAGCUGGAACAAUUAUAAAAUAAAUUUUUAGUACCUAGAAGUUUAUUACUCGAAAAUUUAAAAUUUUAGAAUGUAAAAGUUAAAAUUUUAACCUUGUUUUUAUCAUAAAUAAUACCAGAAUAAGAUUAAAAAAACAAGAUUAAAAAGUAAACGAAUUUCUAAGGAUGCAAAAUGUGAUUUUGGGAUGCAUGAACUGGAUUCGAAAGUGACUCUUUAGUCAAAAGUUUUGGGCUAUCUAAUACAUAAAUUAUAAUAAAAAAAUAAUAACACUCUAUUAUAUGUUAUCUAAAGAAGUUUAAUUACUAUUUUUUAGCUUCAAUGUAAUCUUCUUAUUUUUAAAAGGCGUAAUUUAGUUUUUUAAUUUAUUUAUUGAGUUUAAUUUAGUCUAUUUAUUUUUAAAGGUUUCAAUUAAUUACUUUAUUUUUAAAAAAGUAGAUUCACUUCUGAUCCCAUUUAAAAUUAAGACUGGUUUCAUUUUUUGGAAAUGCUGGAAGCUGGCGGAAAGAAAAAGGAACCAAAUUAAACGUGUUUUUAAAAAAAUAAAGGAUAUGAAUAAACUUUUAUAAAAAAAUAGAGGAAUCAACUUAAAUUUAAAUAAAACUCUCCACUCCACCAUUGGAACUUGUAAUAGCAGGCCAUUAAGAGCUGAUACAAUAUUGAUAUUGAAAGACAUUACUGCGAUAUAUAUAAUCUCGUAUUCUUUAAACUAAAAGCUAUUAAUUAGCAUCUUAGGCUAGAUUGCCAUACUGGGCCUUAUAGUCUCGCCAGAGCUGAUCAACUGGCUUUCCCAGUAACUGAACGAAGAACUGAUCACUAUAACCAGUCCUCAUCAACUGGUUAAGUUGAGCCACAAACCCACUUUUGAGAGAAUCACAAUAAUCCAAAAAAUGAGCAGUAAUAUCAUAACCCUCAUCCCAUCUCUGUCCUUGCCCUGGUUUUCUCCAAUGACUGGCUGCAUAGUUUGCCUUCAGCCUCACAAAAUCUGCAAUACCUCCAAUUAAUCCACCAGGAGCCUCACCAUUCCCAUACCACUGCCAAACGUAGCAAACUUGAUGAAACAGCACCCCUGUGAUCUCUCUUUUCACAUCCCCACCACUAUACCCAUUAACAUAUCUUGCACUCACGUGAAUCUCGUUGUUCAUAGUGUAUGCAAUACCCUCCAUGUCAUCCACGACUAAGCUCACCUUCUGCACAUUUUUUCUGUCAGAAGGGUUUUUUUGCUGAAAGAUCCUCCAUACGAAUUGGGUGGCCAACUCAAGUGUUCGGUUUGCGUAUUCAGCUCCUAUUUUGUCACGGAAUCUCACACCACCGGGGGUUGUCAGUGCAUUGUUUAUUACUGUGAACUUAUAUCCCUGUGUUUCCUGCUUUGUAGCAUCAAAGCUUACUUUUAGAAUAUCUACGAUUUCAUCAAUGGGAAUUCUGCUAUAAUGUUCCACAGCAUAUUCCCAUUCUGCUACUGUUUUUUCAAACAAGUGGGAACCUAUGACUUCCAAAGCCAGUGGAAGGCCAGAAGCAUAAGCUACCACACGAUUCAAGACGUGCUCAUAACUUGGAUCAAUUUUUUCUCUUCUGAAAGCAUUCCAAGUAAGCAAUUGAAGAGCAGCAUUGUCAUUCAAAACCUUCACCUCAUAAGUUCUUUCAAUGCCAUGAUAUUUUAGCAGAUGUUUGUCCCGAGUGGUAAUGAUGACUCUGCUACCGGGACCAAACCAAUCAGGUCUUCCAACAAUAGCCUUUAAUUGCUCGUGCCUGUCUGCAUCGUCUAAAAUCAAGAGAACCUUCUUUCUUCGGAGCCUAUGUUGAAUCAUUGAAGCUCCUUCUUGCCAACUUGUUAAGUUGAUGUCCUUCUCACCAAGUAAUUUUAAAAGAAGGAUGCUUUGAAGGUGUUUUAACCCAUGUUUAUUUGAUUCUUCUCUCACAUUUUGAAGAAAACAUGAUUCGUCAAAAUGGAGAGCAAUCAAAUUAUAAACAGCUAGAGAAAGGGUUGUUUUUCCUAACCCACGCAUCCCAUGGAUCCCUAUGAUAUGGACAACAUCAUCUGAUCCAACAUCCAAAAGCUUCAUUAAGUCUGUCACUUGUGACUCUAGACCAACUGGAUAAUCCAGAACAUGUAAAGAAGCUCGAUUAAUCUUCCUAGAGACCUCCUCAACAAUGCUCCCAAUAAACUUGUAUUCAUAUGCAUCUCUGUUUCAAACAAACAAAAAAAGUUCUAAUGAAGUCAACCUAAAAGCCUUGCAUCCAUGUCUUGCUAGGUACAUUAAUUGUAAAGGUUAACAAGAGCAUUUCUUUUCUAUUUAAAUUUUACUGGUAAAAUCAAAGACAAGUAAAACCUAAUCCUAUAAAAACCAUAAAGUAAAUUAUAUUAGUAUGAUUGUAUACCCAUCUUUGAAAUGAUGGCCAGACAAGUCAGCUACUUGUUUCAAAGCCAUCCUCCAUUUCUGCAGCUUCUCCAUCUUAGAUUCGAACCUUUUCUGAUGCUUAAUCAUUGCUUCUCCAUAACUACCUUUCUGGUGUCUGAGAUCAGAAGGAUCUACGUUGUAAAAGACCGGUAUAACCAACAGCCCUUCACUCUUGCAGUGAAGGAUGGUUACAAGUUCAUCUAAACAAAAUGAGGAAAAAGCAUAGUUUUGAGAAAGCACAGUAAUAGCAAUCCUGGACUCUUGAAUUGCCUUCGAAAGUGCAGGUGUUAUUUCAUCUCCACCGUGAAGCUUCUCUUCAUCAAAGAAGGUAUGAAUUCCCUUCUCACAGAGAGCCCUGUAUAGAUUGCCAGUGAAACCAUAGCGUGUGUCUUCCCCUCUGAAGCUGAGGAACACAUCAUAGAUGAAUGGAAGGGAACGUGUUGUUGCAGCCAUUAUUAGAAGAAAGAAGUUUAGUAUGAUAAUGGUUGAUAUGGUGGGAGUGUAGAAUCAAACUUGAACAAAUAUGAGAAAGAUAUAUACCAAAUGUUAUAAAAGUCAAGUACGUCAAGCUCUUAUUAAUUGUCUGUUAUAAAAUUCAAUUCAAGCUCUUAUUCUAUGUUAUAAAAGUCAAGUUAAGAUCUUAUAAAGAAAGAUGCUCUCACUUUUUUUCAUUUUAAAUACUACUUUUCAUAAUCAAAUUAUCACAAAUAAACACUAAAAGCAUUUUUAAUAAUUGGUACUGUAUUUCAAAUAAUUAACUGGUGGUACUACUUAUUCUCCCUCCCCAAAAAUAAUUGUUAAUUAGAGAAUGAAAAUAUAUAUUAAAUAAUAAGUAAUCUGAUAAUUUUUAAUCACAGGAGCUUCAAAAUUUGUCUUUUUAUGUAUAUAAAUUUCUCAUUGAAAGAGUUUUAUAAUUACCUUGAUAAUUUUACUGAAAUUAAAACACCCACACAUAAGAUGUUUUACUUUAAGUCAGAUGUAUUUGUUCGAAAAGUAAUAGAAGUUAAUUUUGUAUAAUAAAAAAUGUUAACCAAUAAUUUAGGACAUUGAUUAAAAAAUAAAAAUAAAAAUUUUGAAAAAUCUCACAUAUGAUAUACUUUCUUUUUGUAAUUUUUAAUGCAACUUAUUAAUUUGAUAACGCAACUUCAAUUUUGGUGGGUCAAAUAUGAUUUUACAUAUUUGAAUUUUAUCUAUACUUCUCAAUUUAUAAUCAAUUUUUUAAUUAAAUUUAAAGGCUGAUACACUGAAUAAGUGAUUUGGCACAGUAAAAUGAGGAAGAAGCAUAGUUUUGAGAAAGCACAGUAAUAGCAAUCCUGGACUCUCGAAUUUCCUUCAAAAGUGCAGGUGUUAUUUAUUUCGUCUACUCUCAGAAGCUCCUGAUACAGUGUAGAUUUCCCUGUCAUCAAGAGCUUUGUGGAGAUUGCCAGUGAAACCAUAGCGUGUGUCUAAACCUCUAAAGCUGAGGAACACAUCAUAGAUGGAUGCAAGGGAACGUUUCGUUGCAGCCAUUAUUAGAAGAAACAAGUUUAGUAUGAUAAUGGUUAAUUGAUAUGGUAGGAAUGUAGAAUCAAACUUGAACAAAUAUGAAAAAGAUAGUAUAGAAAAUGUAAAGUGGGGCAAACCAAGCAUUAUUUGACGCGGUCAUACAAAUGUUUAUUAUUAGGCAGAGUAACAAUGACAUAUGGGGCCAAACAAUAACUAGUAACGCGGACACAUCGUACCAAAGUCGAUAGCCUUGUGCAAAAUAUGUGGCUUUUUUUCUUUUGUUUUCUCUCUCUGUCAAAUAAGUCAAAAUCUUAUGUUGUUUAAUUUUAUUAAGGUCUCAGGUUUUGCUGGAUGAUGAGAAGAGGAUGGUUAAAAUUAAAGAUAAGAUUUCUAUAUUAAUUAUUAAUAAAUUUAAUUAAUAUUUCAUAUUAAUGUCAUCAGUAAAGAAUAUCUUUACUAUAUCUUCUACCUACAAGCUAUGAGACAAGUAGUAAAAAAAUUACAUUUUAUAAUUAAAUCAUUACAAUCUAAGUAUUUUUUUUGUAGAAGUAUAAAAUUAUUUUUAGUAUUUGCUACUGCAUGUAUUUAAAAUAAUUAACUGGUGGUACUAAAUUGUAAUUUCUCCCCGUCCCCCAUUAAAAUUGUUAGACGUAAAAAGUUAGUCGAUUUCACAAAUUCUGUGAUCUGAGAUUAAUGAGCAAGAGCACAUUCUUUCAACUCCAAGUUGAAGGCUAUAUUCGGAAAUUUAGCUCUGAAAAAGGAAAAAAGGAAACCAAAUUCAAAAAUUAUGAUUCAUUUAACUUUCCAUAGGAUGAGAAUUAGAUGUUUGUUCCAAAGCCAAGAACAUGAGCUGAAUGGGUUGCCAAUAAAAAAAUAACGCAUUCCCCCUCUGAAUGUGAGAUAUGGCAUUCAAAGACUAGUUACUUUGGUCUCCUGGCCUCCUUGUCAAGAUAAGAUGUUUUCAAACUCAACACUAAUAGAAGCUCCUAUGGGAAUCCGUCCUGAUCCUUCGGGGUAGGGUGACAUUCACUACUAUAAAAUGAUGAUUCAACAUCGCCUCAGCUACAUGGGUUCGCCUCAUCUACAUCGGUUGUCGAAAAACCGUUGUAGUAAAACAUACGGUGACAUUUUUAAAAUUAAAACUAACUAUGUUAAGGUGUUAAUGGCGGUUUUUUAUAAAAUCGCCUUUUAUGUGUAUGUUACAAAGACAGUUUUAUAAAAACCGUCUUUGUUCAUAAAUACACUAUUAUGGUUUUUUAAUCACCCAUCUUUGAAGUCACGUGAUUUUAAUUUCAAUUCUAUUUUCACUUUCGAAGCUGAAGACUACGCCAUUUUCUGGUGACAUACGCAUUUUCUGGUCACCGAAUUCAACAAUGUCAUCGACGCACUGCCGCCGGGGACGACCAACGACCUGCACGAGAUCACGAAGCGAAUGGUGGCAGGAGGCUUCGGGAAGGAGUGCUCGCACGUGUACAGAAGUUGCCAGAGAGAGUUCUUGGAAGAAAGUGUGUCGAGAUUAGGGUUACAGAAGCUCAGCAUUGAGGAGGUUCAUAAGAUGACAUGGCAGGACCUCGAAGAGAAGAUUAAGAAAUGGAUUAAGGCCUCCAACAUCGCUCUCAAGAUCUUCUUCCCCAGCGAGCGCCGUUUCUGUGACCGUGUCUUCUUCGGAUUCGCCUCCGCCUCAGACUUCUCCUUCAAGGAGUUUUGUCGCUGGAAAGGCUGUUCCGAAUCCUCGACGUGUUUGAGACGCUGCGUGACCUAUUUCUGGAGUUUGAGGCUCUGUUUUCUGAUCAGUUUAGUGUGUCGCUCAGGAAUGAAGCGAUUACGAUUUGGAAGAGGUUGGGGGAAGAGAUUAGGAGAAUUUUUAUGGAGCUGGAGAAUUUGAUUCCCGGGAUCCGGCAAAGAUUGCAGUUCCUGGUAGCGGACUUCAUCCGAUCACUCGCUAUGUGAUAAACUACCUCCGUGCCACAUGUCAGUCACGGCAGAGCUUGGAACAGUUUUUUGAAGACUAUGGCAGGAAAUAGUACCCAAAGCUUGAUGAUAGGGUUCCUUCCUCUUCUUCUCUGUCAGUGCACUAUCAAAGAAGCUCCUGGAAUAAGGUAUUAGGGAUUCUGAAGUUCGAUAGUAAUGGGUCAAUGCCCCCUAUUAGCUUGGCAAAGUCAACGAAGGAGAAACUCAAGUCGUUUAACACGGUUUUUGAGGAGAUAUGCAGGGAACAGUCUUCAUGGUUUGUCUUUGAUGAGCAGCUUAGGGAAGAAAUAAGAAUUUCGCUUGAGAAAAUCUUGCUUCCUGCGUAUGGAAACUUUGUUGCAAGGUUUUAGAGUGUUUCAGAGCUUGGAAAGCAUGCUGAUAAGUAUAUAUAUUGAGUACGGAACGGAGGAAAUUCAAGCAAGACUCAAUGGUUUGUUUCAGUGAAGCAGUGGAUCAACUGGUAGCCGAAAGUGAAGGUGAAGCUGCUACUAGUUGUUCUUGUGUAUUUGUAGUGUAAUUAAAUUAAAAUACAAUGUUUUGAUUAUCACAAAAUUGUAGUCUUGUAGUCGUGUACUAUAAAUACUACUGUAUGUUAUUCUUCUUAGCAUCAUUGUGGAGGAUUGAAAAAGGAUUUUAAAGUAAGAGCUAGAGUUACAAAAUUAACCUUUAUGUUGUAACAUUUGAGGUGGUUCUUAUUGGUUUGUAUUUCAUAGAAUACAUUAGAAUAUAUGAUAAGAUAUUCUAUGAAAUACAUACAAUUCUAUCAUGACUCAUGUGUUUGAAACUUAAUAAUGGCUACCAACAUUGGAUUUUCAUAUGGUGGUGUAAACUAAGCCGAUCAUUCCAAUAUUUGUUUAUCAGUUCAAUUAAAAAAAAUAAAUUACAUUUUAAUUUCUUAUAAUUUGACUUAAAAUACUUUAUUCUGUGUUACCUGAACCAUAUAGAAUUUGAUAUUUUAUCAUCUUAUGUUUUGUUUUAAUUUAUUAUCACAUUGAUAAUUUAGUACAUUUUAUCUAUUUUCUAAAGAUUAAUAUAUUUUACUCUCUCCAUUUUCAGUUCAAAAAAUAGUAUAUAUGUAAAAAGAAAAAAAAAACAAGUUGAGCCACUAAUAAUGGAGAUUAAUGUAAAAUAUAUUUGCUUUAAAUUGUUGUUUUAAGUUGAGCAAAUAUUUUUAAGAAAUACUAGUAAUUUUUUAAACAGAAACUGUAACAUAAAUGGCCUAAAUAUACUCUUUGACCAUUAGGCUUGAAAUGGUAGCAGUUACUAAGAUGCGUUUUGUUUUAUUAGUAAUAUUGGUGUUGGAAUUGAAGAAAUAAAGAUAUUUUUUAGAUGCAAGAAGGAGGAAACUGAAAACAAAGCAAGUAGUACUACUGUGGUGUGGUGUGGUGUUAUUUUGUUUCGUUGUCUGCUAAUAAUUGUAAGCAUCAGUAAUGGGCAGUGGGUGGCAGCACAUGGCCACCGUGCUCCACCAAUCACCAAUCCAACUUCGCUUUCUUAAAUCAUAUCGACAUAAGGACAAUUUCGUAAUAUUUUUAUUGUGGAAAGUGAAAACUAUGAAUCUAGAUUAUAUAACUAUAAAUAAAUGUUUUAAGAUUAAAAGUUAGUCCGUGGUUAUAUACAUGACCACUUAAUAAAGCUUCAUCAAGUGCUUUUUUUAAAAUAAAAUAAAAAUAACCAUUCAAAUAUAAUUUAAUAGUGUAGGUUCAAAAUAUUCUGCGUGAUUUCUAUUUGGAAAUGGUUGGUUGUCUUUUCUGGUAUGUGUGGCUAUACAAACAUUCUUGCUGAACUGUUUGUCAUCUUUCAUGAUUUCAAUGUACCUUGGAACUCUACUUAUUGGCAUCAUAAAAUUGUAGCAUACAUUAAUGUUUCAAGAAAGAUAGAGUCUAAUUUCAACAGUUUUUGAAUAAAUUUACACCAAUUAAUUUUGAAACAUGAAGAAUACUAAACUAAAACUGAGAGAAUAAUUAUGGGUUGAAGUUUGAACAAAUGAAAUGGGCGGCUGAGAUCAUUCACAUCAAUGCAUGUGAUAAAAGUAAAAUACAACAAACAUUAAUUGGAAGACUUAUUAAUUUGUUGGUUUAAAUUUUCAUAGUCUUAACAAAUUCCUCAUAGCUAAUUUGACCAUCACCAUCCAAAUCUGCAGUUGCAAUCAUCUCCUCCACCUCUCCAGCAGUUGUGUUUUCACCCAGUUUGAUCAGAACUUGCCUCAACUGCAUAGCACGGAAUGAUUUUAACAUAUGAGGGCAUGUGUAUGUCUUUGAGCAUAUAUGCAGUUCUUAGUUAAUACUAAUAAAUUCUAUAUGAAAAAAGGAAGUUAACACUGAUAAAUUAAAAAUGAUCAAGUGAAAACUGAAAAACAAGAUUUUCUUCCUGAUCUUAUUUUAAAAUGUCAAAACCCAAGACAUUUUUUUUAAAACCAAACAGGCAAACAACUAUUAUUCAGAGUAUGCGGAAAGGUUCAAAGUACCAUCCUGAAUGUGCAAGUGACAUUAAUGUUCCUUUUUCUUUUCUUUUUUGGCCUUUUUCUCAGUGACAUAUAUAAAUAUAUAUGUACAUGAUAUCCUAGCCUCUCACCAUACAAUUUCAUUCCAUUUUUAAUAUACAAUUAUGGAAAAGGUUGAAUUAUUAAAAAUAAUACACGGGUAAUUUUAUAUAUUUUUAUUAUUUUUUGUUUUAAAAUUAUUGAUUUUCCUAUUUUAAAUUAUUAAUAUUCUGUAAAUUUCUAGCUUUUUUUCAUUAUUCUUUAUUUAAAAUAUCUAGAUUUGAUCUUUACAAAGAAUACUACACUUCUAGCCUCUUUAAAAAGCGCUUCAACAAUAUCAUAUAUUAAAUAAGGUUACUUUAAUCUAAAUGUAUGAAUAUUAUAUACUUAUUAAAUACUUUUUAAUCUAUUUAUACUAACCUUAAACAUCAAUAAUUUUAGAAGGGCUGUAGCAAUUUAUAAAAUAAAUUUGUGUGUGUGUAAAAAAUAUUAAAAGAACAAUCAAAGGGAAGAUGCACUUUGCAACAUCUUGACACUACUUGCUUUUUGUUCAAGUUUGAAGUAACCUUACUUCGUCAGAAAUCUCAUGAAUACUUUGAUGGGCGAUUGCCGUCAGAAAAAGCAAGUUAAAAUAAAAAAAUGAAUAGAAAGAAUAAAAGUUUAUACAUAUACCUCACUUGCUGAAAUGUAGCCAUUUUGAUCCUUGUCAAACACCUUGAAAGCCUCUCUGUAUUCUUGCUCUUGAUGAGUUCCCUAACCGAGACAGAAAACAGAACUGAACUUAGUAUAUGGCUGUUCUAUAUAUAAUAGUAAUAAUGAGAAGAAUAUUAAUCUUAGCAAAAAAUGCAAUAUUAAUUCCUUACUUGCACUUUGGACUCUUGUUCAACAGGCAGAUCGGCAACAUGUACUCUAGCAGGAUUAAUCUUCUCAGAGACCGACGCAACAAUUCUCUCAAUAAACUUGUACUCAUAUUCAUCUCUGUUAUUAAUAUUUGAACAUUAAAUUGUGAGACAAGUAAAACUUAAUUAAUCCAAUAAAAAUUAAAACAUAAAAAGAUUGGUAUCAUUGGGUACCUGUAUUUGAAAUGAAAGCCAGACAAGUCAGCAACUUGACGCAGAGCCAUCUCCCAAUUCUGGAACUUUUCUGGAAAUCUUAUCUUAUGCUUAGCCAAUGCUUCUCCAUAAGUACCCUUCUGGUGUCUGACAUCAGAAGGAUACACCUUAUAAAACACUGGUAUAAUCAUCAUCCCAUUAUACUGGGCGCAGUGAACAAUGGAUGUAAGUUCAUCUAAGCAAAAUGAGGAAGAAGCAAAGUCUUCAGAGAGCACAGUGAUGGCAAUUCUGGAAUCUUUAAUUGCCUUCAAAAGUGCAGGUGUUAUUUCCUCUCCGCUGUGAAGCUUCUCUUCGUCAAAGAAGGUACGAAUUCCCUUGUCAGAAAGAGCCCUGUAGAGAUUGCUGGUGAAACCAUAGCGUGUGUCUUCCCCUCUGAAGUUGAGGAACACAUCGUAGAUGGAUGCACGGGAACUUGUUGUUGCAGCCAUUAUUAGAAGGAAAAAAGUUUAGAAUGAAACUUGAAGAAAUAUGAAAAUGAAAGUAUCCCAAAUUAAUGCUAAGUGUUAUAAAGAAGAUAACCGCCUUUGUGGAAAAUAGCUAAGAUGCUCUCACUUUUUUUCAUUUUAAAAAAAAAAGUACUUUUUUAUAAUCAAAUUGUUACAAAUAAACUAUAAAAGUAUUUUUAAUAAUUGGCAACUGGUGUACUAGUAAUUCUGCCCCACCCCCUAAAAGAAUCUUUAGAGAAUCAAAAUAUAUAUUAACUAAUAAGUGAUCUGAUAAUUUUUAAACAAGUGUUUUAUACAGAAGAUAGCCGCCUUUAUGGGAAAUAGCUGUGUUAUAAAGAAGAUAGCUGCCUUUGUUGAAAAUCUCUUGCUUUCUCUCAUUCAUUGUUAUAAAAGUCAAGUCAAGCUCUUAUAAAGGAAGAUGUUCUCACUUUUUUUUUUCAUUUUAAAAAAUACUUUUUGUAAUCAAAUUCUUGCAAAUAAACUAUAAAAGUAUUUUUAAUAAUUAACUGGUGGUACAACUAAUUAUGUAGCCCCUAUAAAAAAAUCUUUAGAGAAUCAAAAUAUAUAUUAACUAAUAAGUAAUCUGAUAAUUUUUAAUCACUAGAGCUUCAGAGUUCGUCUUUUAUAAAAAACAGAGUAAAAAUAUAAAAGAGAGAUGAAAAUAGAAAAGAGAUAGAAUCUGAGAAAAAAAAGUCAUGCGUGAAAAUGUUUUACACUAUCAAUUAAUCAUAUGAUAAAUUUGUUGAUUAUUAAACUAACUAGUUUAAAAUAUUAUCUAUUAAGUAAAAAUUUAUUAUGAAUGCACAUAGUUAUUUAAAAAAAUAUAUACUAAAAGGAUGUAGGACACUGAAUUAGGUUAGGACAAUCCAAAGCAUAACUCAGAAUCCAUUCUAAAGACUAUAUUGAGUCUAAUUUCAAAAUUCUAAUUCAUCUAAAUCAACUUUAAACCGAACUCAGAUGAUGAAACUAGUUGGAUAUUGUUCACCCUACAGUGUGAUAACUGUAAGGUUUGGAAGGAAAACAUUCUUCUCCAUUUUGACUAAAUCAGCAUCGAUUAUGCUAUUAGGAAAUGAUAAAUCAUUGAGUAUUACUAAAACUAACAGCUCUAGAUUUGUACACACAUAUAUAUGAUGUCUACCAGGCUUAAAUUACUGAGGUCAUAUUGUCAGAGAAACUGGAAUUCUACAUCUCAUAAAAUCUAAAAACAACCAGCUAUGUGUUCAUCCAAGAUAAUCCUUAUGAUGAUAAUGAAUAAGACAUUCACUUGAAGUAUAUUUGAUUCUAGAGAGGCAUAGAACAAAACACAUCUAUUUUUUAUUUACAAGCAAGCACAAAUCUAUUGAUAUGCUCAAACUCAGUGAAUUAGCAUUCCACUUUCUGAAGCUGUAAGCAGCCAAUAUAGUAGUAUGAUUAAACCUAAGAAACACUGUUACAAAUUUAAGAAGUUUAAGUCUUUCUUCUUCCUGCUCAAACUAUUUCUUCAUUGGAAGUUGAAUGCACCUGACCCUGCACCUUGCAAUAGGAAACCCCUAGAAGACCUAUUCAAAGCAAAAAGGAAUCAAUCUAAACUAAGAGGAAAAAUAAACCAUGGAAAUCUCAUCAAACAUUCUCACCAAAUCUCAUUUGCAUGGAGUCCUGCUGUAUCUGUAUAAAAAUGUUGAAUCGCAGUUCUUUCAUUCCUUCAAUCCAUUAUCGCGACUUUUAGCAAUGCAAAAAUCUUUUAGUUGAAGAGAGCAGUCACUAGUUUCCAGCAAUGGAAACCACUGCAGCAGGAGCAACUAGCAAUAGUUUGUAUGGGGAUUUUGAACCUUACAGAAGAUGGCAUACAGAGGAAGGACAACAGACUCUUGAGGAGUUUUCUGCAUUGCUCAUCAGUUUAUUGUCUCACCUCCACUAUCCAUUUUUUCAAGAUAUAAUCAUCAUCAUAUGAUCCCUACUUAGCAGCAUCUUCCUAAUCAAUUAUGUUGUUUACUAAAUUCCAGUUAAUCAGUUUCAAAUUACUACUAAAAAGAGCACAUGUUAUGACGCCAAAACGAGGUCGGUUCAAAUAAACCAUCUUACAAUAUAUGGCCGAGACAAUUUUAUAAAUAUGAGGAGUUUAACAAAGAAGGUUAUAUAAAAACUGCCUUAGAAUAUAUGGCGGUUGGCAUCGCUGUGCUUCGGCACGGCUGCGGGGUUUGAGGUCUGGCACAGUUGCUUCUUGCAAUGCUGUUAGUGUUCGUGAAGGACCCUUUCCCGCACGUGCAAGCCUAGGAACUGGAAGGGCUUGCUGGUUUCUGCGAGCCUGGCAGAGAGUCAAGUGACAUCGUUUUCCUGUUGGCAAAACCCUCGUCUCUCGCUAGUACCCUGGGAACCAAGGUUUUUUAUUUUUCUUCUCUUAUUUUAAAACCCUUUCUAUAUAGCUCCAUAACUUCAUUUUUUAUAUAUGGAGUGGUGGCUGCCGAAGGUAAGUUUUCAUCUUCUUUGAACUUCAUCAUUGCUAUUGCCUUCUAAAUUUCUGCAUUAUCAUUUUAAUUUGUGCAAAAGAAAAUGUUCACACCCUUGUUUAUUUUCUCUGGAUUGCUUCACAGAAGGAGAGCAGAGAGCACAACCAAGUGUUCAUCUUUGACUCACCAUGAAGCUCAUCAGGUUUUUCUCUCUUUGUUGAUUUAUCUGUGAAUUUUCUUCUGUUGUGUUUUUUUAAUUAGCAUCUCAUUCAGUGCAUUACAAGGUGAUGCAAGUAUAAAUCUGAUUUAGAAUCAUUCGAUAAGCAUGUGAAAGGCCUGCAUUUUGUGCUUAUGAACAGGGAAAGGAUAUUCUACUUGCUUUGUUGGAAAAUCCCAUUCUAGUAUCAGCCUCAAACUGUUUGAAGGCUAACUCAGAGAGGAAGUUCUCAGUAUCUGAUGUGUCUAGUCCAGAGAGAUCAAAAUGGGUUUAUAUAUUCCAGAGAGAAUAUGCUACCAUUGACCCCGCCCUUGUUGAUGUAAUUUCUUAACUUUUUGCAAUGUCAUUAAGCUAAUAUGUAUUACUUCAAAUGUAAUCAUUUCCCUUUGACUUCAGUGAUGAUGUGUAAGAGAUAAUUUUUGUAAAAUUGUAAAUUUAAUUUUAAACUAGUUCAUAGUUCAUUAUUGUAUGCAACUAUUAAUCUUGUGCAUGCAGACAAUUCAUACUUAAUUGGACUAAGUCACAUCAUAUGUGGAAUUUCUUUUUCCGGUCCAUUUUUUCAAAUGUUCCUUCUACUAGGUGUUCAAAUAUUGGUUUUAUUAUUUUUAAUUUAACACUGCAGGAUAUCAGUUGCCGCAGAGAUACUGAUGCAAUUUUCCUUUCAGGGGACUUCUAGAAUACAUAUACAUUGGAAGGGAGCCGCAAAGAUAGUUCUAGGAGCAUGUACUCAAUAUCUUGAUUCAUAUGGUCAAUUGCUAUCCAUUGAAGAAGAGAAAAAGGUUAGGGAUGGCAGUUUCAAGUCCAGAGAGCUUGCUGAUGGAAUGAAAUUCAUUUAAUUGAACAUUGGAGAUGUUAUUUUAUUUUUCUUUUGGUUUAGAACAAUCAGAAAUUAAGGAAAAAUACAUGGAACAAGGUUUCCAACAAAUUUCUUUUUUCUUAUCAAUGUGAUUAUAGUGUCAUUUGAAGUUACUCUGAUAGAGAACCAAAUCAAGAAAUGGGGAAAAAAUCAAAGCACAUUGUUCCUUUAUUGGAAGCCUAACUCUCACCUUGCAAUGCUAGAAUUGGAACAAGCAACUCCCCAGAAGACCCAUUUAAACAAAAAAGGAAUUAUUCUCAACCAAGAGGAAAAUUAAACCAUGAAAAUCCCAUUACGGUUUCUCACCAGAAUCUCAUUUGCAUGCAGUACGAUAUUUGUAUGAAAAAUGUUUAGUCACAAUUCUUUCAUUCAUUCAAUCCAUUAUCAUAACUUUUUGCAAUACAAAUAUUUCUAGUUUAGCCGUUUAAGAGGGCAUUCACCAGUUUCCUGCAAUGGAAAAUGAUGCUGGAGCAACUAGCAAUAGUUUGUAGGGGAUUUUGAACCUUACCGCAAAUGGCUUACAAAGGAAGGACAACAGACUCUUGAAGAGUUUUCUGACUUUGCCUUCUCUGUUUCUUAGCAUUUUCACCUCAACAUUUAUUUUUAGAUAGUGGUGUCUGUUGGACUUUGACUUGUUUAUUUCUUAGGCUGCUUCCUAUCCUUAUUAAUGGCACGUUUUUAAUCUCCAUUCAUAAAUUUAAAAACAACAAGCUAUCAGCCAUCCUAAGACAAUCCUUAUCAAGAAAAUGAAGAAGACAUUAUCUAGCUUAAAUUACACUAGUUAUUCCUUAGAUUUGGUGAAAUUUUCACAACCUUUUCAUACUUUUUUUACCCCUACACUAACCCCUCAAUUAUUUCAAAAAUAUUAUUCCAGUACCUCUUAUACAUUAUACUAACCUUCCUUAAUUGUUUGAAGAACAUUACACUGUGUUCACUUAUAAAGAAGGUAGUUGUAAAUGUUAAAAAAAAUAAUACUUAAUAAUUUAGAGAGGCAUAUAGAAGUAGAAGUAAACACAAAUCUAUUUAUAUGCCCAACUCAAACUCAAUAAGAAUCCUAAGUAGACAUUCUUCUUACAAGUAUAAAAAAUUUAACUUUCUCAACUGCUAUGAACAGUUGAUAUAGAUCAUAUAGUAGUAUGCUAGCUAAAUCCUAAGAAGUACACUUUCAAAAUUUAACUAAUUGAAGUUUUUCUCCUUCCUGAUCAAAUUAUUUAGCAUAACCAGCGGGAAUCUGAUCAUCGUAGCAAUUAGAAGAGAAAAAGUUAAACAUCCAAAAACAAAUGUAUAUACAUACAAAAAUAAAUAUAAAAAUAAAUUACAAAUAUAUUAUUAUAUUGUUUUAUAGUAGAACUUGUAAGGGAAAAUCUAAAAGUAAACAAAAAGUAUAUUAAAGAUUUCUUUUUACUUUAUUUUAAUUACAAUGUAUAUAUAAGAUAAAUACCUGUUGGUUUAUGUAAUUUUGAAGUGUAACUAUAAAAAUAUAUACAAAGAUAAAACUUGAAAGGUUAUAUAUAGAAAAUGCAUAAAGUAGUGAAAGAUGAAUAUAAAUGAGUCAAAAGUACAUGAUGAAGAUAGGGUGAAGAGCAGUUGGGUUAAGUCAAUUUUUUUCAACUGAAACCAAAAUAAUAAAAUAAAAAACAAAAAAAAAUAAGAAAAAAGCUAUGGAAAACUUGCGUGUUCCCAAAGCUAUGGUUUGUAGUAAGGAGCGGCUUUCUGAUGCAGAGCUGCUGAGAUAUGGAUCAUCAAAUCGAAUAUCUUCCUCCAUACUGCCUUCUUCUCUGAAUAUAUGGAUUCCAGUUGCUUUAAUGAGUGAGCUCUCUAAGUCUAACACACCUUCUUUUCUUUUUUGCUUUUCAUAGUCUAACACACUUUGAUAUCUAACCUCCACAUGGUUCCAUUCCUUUUCCCUAGCCACUUCUAAAGCAAACAGAGAUCUAGAGGGACGAAAGAUAUGUGUAUGAUCCAAUUUCAACAUACUGUAACUUUCAUAAUCGAGCAGAUAGUUUAGAAUUUUUCCAUCGAUGAACACCUUGGGUAUAACGAAAGUUUGCAGGUCAUCCGACACAGGUGCAAUAAGAAGACAAAGAAGUUUGGAAGGGAAUUUAUUACGAAACCAGAAAGAACUUGAAUGUCCACUGCUUUGCUGAUCCAACCACUCUGGUAUUCUUGUUCCUGGAAACACAAACUCGGUUCCUCCAGCCUCAUACAGUUCCUGUUAGUCAUAAUUCAUACAGAAUUCAUAAGUUUAACAACAUUAAGUGCACUAUACAUCAUCAAAUCCUGUACAGUAACAAAAAAGACAAUACCUGAUUUAAAAACAUGCUUUUACUCGAGGAAGUCAAGGAUGCACAGUUUCUUGCAUGGAAAUAACAUAAGUUUGGUGGAAGCCCUCUAAUUUCCUGAAGAUGCUCGCAAUCACUCACCAUAAGUGCUCUUAAAAAUUUCAAUUCUUUGAAGAAUUCAGGAAGGAUUGUGAAAUUAUUCCCCGAUAGAUCUAAAUAUCCUACACGAGCAAACCUCUUGGAACCUGUUAAAAAAAAUCAUCACAGAGAUUGCAAUUCAUGGCAGAAAACGAAAGUUUCAUUGAAGACGGUAUUGAGCCCACUUUUUCUUCACCUCCUUCCGAUUCUACCCAUUGCCACCUGUUACAAUUUUUAAUUUGGAAUCGAAACAGAUUGGGCAUCAUGGCUAAGCUACAUCGUAACUGAACAAUUCCACAGCUCCACAGGGAUAACAGUUGGAGUCCAAUAAGAUUUUGAAAUGAAAAUGGCAAUUCUUUUAUGGGAAGGCCAUCCAAUUCAAGGCUCUUUAUGUUUUCCAUCUCUCCUAAUAUUUCUGGAAAAUAAUCAAGACUGGAACAGUGAGAAAGUUCAAGUGUUUCAAGAGAGGUCAAGUUGAGAGGCGGAAAACUCGUAAGCUUCCUGCAACCAUAAGCACUCAACUUUUUUAAGUUUUUUCAGAAAACCAAUGGAGUCAUCAACUGCAACUAAACUCUCACACCCUUCAAAUGAAAGUUCCCUCAAAUUUGCGAGAUCAGAUACAUCAGGUAUCUUUGUUAAAAAUUCGCACUGGUCAAAAUUUAAAACUGUUAGAUGUCCCAACUUCUGCAAGGAAAAAAAAAAGAAAUAAGAAACAAAUGAAUAAAUUUAAUUCACAGAAUGAGAAAAAUAUAAUCUUUAAACUUGCCUUCGAUGGGCCAUGGAACUCAAAUGACUUAAUGGAACUGUUAGGUAACUUGCAUAUAACAAGGUUCAUCGGAUCAAAGUUCGAUGGUAAACAAUUUGAAGGAUAUCUGUGCCAUUCCAGUACUCUCAAACCUUCUGGAAAAUAACUGGGACCUUUGGAAAAUUUGCCAUUUCUAAUAAUAAGUAUUUUAAGGUUUUCCAUCUUCAUGAAGGCGUUUUCAUUCCAUUCCACUGUUUCUUCUUUGUCAGAUAUUGAGAAAUCCACACAUAUGAUUUCAAUUUUACUAGUUCCCUGUUAAUGCAAAAAGGCAUGAAUCAACCACAAUACAACUUGUGUGAAAUAUCAAUUGACUCGCUUAGAAAAAUUUACAAAUUAUCAAGAAAAAGUUAACUAUGAUGUAAAUAUGAGAUAGACAAAAAAAUUCAACUAUUCAUGAGCUCACUCACCGUGUUGUGUUUUAAAACUUGAAUUAUAUCUUUUGGUGACAAUAAUCUCUUGCACUUCCCGGGCUCUUCUGGUGAUCUCUGCCGCUCAAUUUCUCUACCCAUGUCCUGAAUCAGGUCGUGCAUUUCCACAGUAUCACACCAGCUACGCUUUAUGAGAGAUUUUUCAACCAACACCCCAAUAUGAUGCUUCUUGCAGUUACCAUAAAGAGCACGGAGUAUAUCAUCAACCUCUGUCCAUUUAUACCCUUUGAAGCAACACGCAAUGUCAAGAAAAACAUUCUUUUGUUCUUCCUCCAAAGCAUCAAAGCUUACAUUUAGAAUCUUUAGGAUUUCAUGACUGGGAAUUCUUUUAUAAUAUUCCACAGCAGAUUCCCAUUCUGCUACUGUUUUAUCAAACAAGUUAGAACCUAUGAUUUCCAACGCCAAUGGAAGGCCAGAAGCAUAAGCUACUACACCAUUCAAGACCUCCUCAUAACUUGGAUGAAUUUUCUCUCUUUUAAAAGCUUUCCAUGUAAGCAAUUGAAGUGCAUCAUUCUGAUUCAAAACCUUCACCUCAUAAGUUCUUUCAACCUCAUGAUAUUUUAGCAGAUGUUUGUCCCGAGUGGUAAUGAUGACUCUGCUACCCGGACCAAACCAAUCAGGUCUUUCAACAAUAGCCUUCCUUUAAUUGCUCGUGUUUGUCAACAUCGUCUAAAAUCAAGAGAACCUUCUUUCUCUGGAGCCUAUGUUGUAUCGUUGAAGCUCCUUCUUGCCAACUUGUUAAGGUGAUGUCCUUCUCACCAAGUAAUUUUGAAGGAAGGAUGCUUUGAAGGUGUUUUAACCCAUGUUUAUUUGAUUCUUCUCUCACGUUUUGAAGAAAACAGGAUUCAUCAAAAUGGAGAGCAAUCAAAUUAUAAACUUCCAGAGCAAGUGUUGUUUUUCCUAACCCGCCCAUUCCAUGGAUCCCUAUGAUUUGGACAAGAUCAUCGGAUCCAACAUCCAAAAGCUUCAUUACCUCUGUCACUUGUGAUUCUAGACCAACUGGAUAAUCCGCAAUAUGUAAAGAAGUACGAUUAAUCUUCCUAGAGACCUCCUCAACAAUACUCCCAAUAAACUUGUAUUCAUAUGCAUCUCUGUUUCAAACAAACAAAAAAAGUUCUGAUGAAGUCAGCCUAAAAUCCUUGCAUCCAUGUCUCGAUAUGUACAAUAAUUGUCAAGGUUAACAAGAACAUUUCUUUUCUAUUUGAAUUUUACUAGUUAAAUCAAUAGACAAGUAAAACCUAAUCCAAUAAAAACCAUAAAGUAAAAUAUAUUAGUAUGGUUUUAUACCCAUCUUCGAAAUGAUAGCCAGACAAGUCAGCUACUUGUUUCAAAGCCAUCCUCCAUUUCUGCAGCUUCUCCUUCUUAGCUUUGAACCUCUUCUGAUGCUUAGCCAUUGCUUCUCCAUAACUACCUUUCUGGUGUCUGACAUCAGAAGGAUCUACCUUAUAAAAGACCGGUAUAACCAACAGCCCUUCACUCUUGCAGUGGAGGAUGGUUACAAGUUCAUCUAAACAAAACGAGGAAGAAGCAUAGUUUUGAGAAAGCACAGUAAUAGCAAUCCUGGACUCUUGAAUUGCCUUGGAAAGUGCAGGUGUUAUUUCGUCUCCUCUGGGAAGCUCCUGAUCAUCAAUGGAAGUGUAGAUUCCCCUGUCAUCAAGAGCUUUGUAGAGAUUGCCAGUGAAACCAUGGCGUGUGUCUAAACCUCUGAAGCUGAGGAACACAUCAUAGAUGGAUGCAAGGGAACGUGUUUUUGCAGCCAUUAUUA